GAGAUAACAAAGUUUUGAUGUUGUCAUAAUGAGUGACGAGAAAUUGCUAGCUAGAGAGUAGUUUGAAAGAAUAUAUCUAGUACUAAAUGACGGUGAUUGAUCGAGAGAUAAUCGUGAUAAGUUAAAGUAUUCACAACAUGAAUCGAUCAACAUAACUAAAUUAAACAUAAUUGUCAGGAUACUCCUCCUAUUGUCCUAUAUUAUGUGAAACUGUUACCGUUUAGGAAAUUAAUAAUUUUUUCUUCAUAGUUUCAUUUAUGAUCUGAGCAAUACAAAUACAAAGUUACAAACGCGAAUUCAUUUAAGAAAACCCACUCUAAAAUACAUGAAUAAAAAUAAGACUCUUAACAAUUGAGUUUCCCCUAUUUUAAACUCUCAUUUACGAAUGACAAUAAUCGAUGUAUUUCUAUUUUUACAACUUUUUUGUAAGACUAUUUUUUUCACUCGGCUAAAUUAGUUUUUAGGUCUCUAUUAAGGUUACAGAAUGAAUUUUGAGACCUCCUUUCCACUUUUUAUUCCAAACUUCAUACAAUCCAAAAUAAAUCUUAUCAGUAUUGUUCCCUUUUCCUUUUGUUAUCGUAAUAGUUUUUGAUAUCAUCUUUUUGCCAUUAGUCUCAGUAGUCAAAUUGAUCUUUCUCCAUUGAGUAUUAUCUCCCCAUUUAGCCAUAAGAUAAAGUGGCGAAUCGCUCCAACCGAACGCAUCAGUCAUCAAUGACAUUGUAAAUCCAAUGUUGUAUGAUGUUUUCUUCGUUAUAUUAAUAUUAUCGAUGCAACCAGUUACCUCCAACCAAUUUACUUGCAUAAGUUCUGCAUCAUCCUUUCUGUAAUUCAAAUAUAUUUAAUAAAAACGUCAGCAUGCUAAAAACAACAAGAGAUUUAUGUAGUCCUAUAUUGUCUUCAUUAUGCAAAAUGUAGUCCUUUUAGAAAAUUUUAUGUUGAUAAAAAUAAAAUUAAAAAAAUAGUAUUCUUACUCGUUUUUGGGUAGCUUCCAAUAACGCUUAUCAUUUCCCCAAACAAUAUUAAGAGAUUUUGGAUAAAUUAUAUAACCCUGCAAGCAACAAAAAUAACACUAUUAAAUAAAUAACAUAACAUAACAUAAACUCGAUGGAUCGAUGGAUUAAGCAUAAGUAAUAAGAGAAACAAGAAUUGCAAUAUAGGAAGAAACUAAUCUAUGAAAUGUCCUGCACCUUUUCUGUUACAGAGAAUGUUUGAUUGCCUUGAUAGUGAAGAGAUUUUAAAGCCAUUUAACUUGCUAUAUAAGUUGAAUUGUAAAGAAUGUGGAGAUUUGAGUGCCUUAUAAUAAUUUUGGCUACAAAAAUCAGAUAUAUAUAGAGAGAUAGAAAUGGAAUCAAAUCACACGUAAUAAGAGACAUGCAUUUAGCAUGGAAUAUCAACCAAUCAAAUGGAAUAAAAUAUCAUGUCUUAUAUUCUAAUAUACGUUGGCAUGCAUUUUUCUACAAGAUUUUUUUGAAGGAAACGUUUUAUUCCAUAUGGGCUUACUUAGUGCGAAUAAAUCAAGAGUGUCACGCGCGGAAUUAGUGAUCAUGGUCGAUUAAAUUCAAUAGUUUUUAUUCAAUCAAUAUAUUCUUAUUUAAAAUAAUUAUUAAAUAUAUAUUAAGUUUAAAACUUAAUUAUAUUUAAUAGAAAGUCGUCAUUUUAAAAUUUUAAAAUUUAUAAAAUUAAAAUUAUGACUCUGCCUAUAUAAAUCAGAGCAAUUAUUUUGAACACGAAAAAUAAUCGAACCGACAACAAAAAAAGUUAGAGAAUAUACUCCUCACUAUAGUGAGUUGUCAAAAUUGAAUGCAUGAGGAUAGAGAUUGAGCCCAAGUUGAUUAAGGUUGAAUAAUAUAAUAUAUUACCCACAAAAAAAUUGGCAUUGUAUUAUUCUCACACGGUGAAUAUUAUUAGUUCACAUAUUCCACUUUUAGACGUUUUCUUCAUUGCCUUAUUAAAAAAAAAUGAACUAUCACUUGAUUCUAGUCGGCCCAAAUUACCUCGAGCUAAUUAAAGCCACAAGUUUCAGAAUAUUUUUUUUGCAAAGUUAUAGUUUAAUUUGACUUUUCUACUUAAUCUUAUAGUAUUUCCCUAAUUACUUGUCCACUUUUAAAUUGACACAUCUAUUAAGAAAACAAUAAUUGAGAGUUUACCAUUUUACCCCUAUUAAUUAUGAAGUUGAUGAAUUAAAAAUGUAAGAUCUUCAAGAAGUUAUAUUUUUUUUUUCAAAGUAAUUAAUUAAGGGUAUAAUAGGUAAAAAAAAUUGUUCUUUCUUGAUUUGUCAAAAUAAACAAGUAAUUAGGGAUAACUAAAAAAGGAAAAGUGGACAAGUAAUUAGGGAUAGAGGAAGUACUAAUGGUUUUUAAAAUUCACUUUUUUGCUUUGAUUUCUAAGUUCCAUCACUUGAUUAGUCUUAAUUUCAUUAUGUGAAAGCGGUAUCUGAAAAUCAUAAAUAUUUGAAUUUCAAAAUAUCAAGAAAUUUAAUAGACCUUAGUAACAUGUAUUCACAUCUUUUGCAUGUCUUUUAAAUAACUUUUGAUUUGGGGAAAGCUAGAAGCCGUUGUGGAGUAAGGAAAAUAAAUUUGGCAACAAUAUUUUUCCUUUCUUCUUGCUAUAUUUCGCUAUUGGUUAUGCAUUGUACUAUUGUGUUACCACAUACUUUAAUAAAUCAAGUAUUCAUGAUCCGUAAAAAAUAAAUUAGUGAGGCUAUAAUUAUUGUAGAAAAAAAAAUCGAUCAUUAGAAAAGUUACAACUCUAGCUCUCCUCAAUCAUAUAAUAUAAUUGAGAAAAUGCAAUUGUGUCACACUCACUCUAACAUGCUAAUUUGGGGAGUCAUUUUUCACUAAUAAUGAACAAGUUAGUGGCAAAUCAGAACAAUUCUAUAUAAAUCAUUCAUCAUAAGUAACUACAUCAAACAUAAUUGUUCCAAGAUACUCCUCUAACCGUCCCAUAUUUUGUGAACCAAACUAUUUUUUCUUUAAUUAUAAUUUUUUUCAAAGUUCAUUUUAAUGUUUUGAAUCAUUCACUGUAUUAGCUUGUAAUGAUUUUCGUAUAGCCAGCUAUCAUAAAGUUAUAAAUUUAUUUGUUUUAGCUGAUAUAGAAGAGAAGAGUGUACGCAGAGAAGUGGGAGGAAAAUCAUAAUUUCAUUCAUAACGUGAGCAAUACUAAUUAAAAUACAAAGUUACAAACCCAAAUUUAUUUAAGUAAACACUCCAAAAUACAUGAACAAAAAUAAGACUUCUAACAAUUGAGCUUUCGCUAUUCUAAAUUCUGAUUUACGGGAUGACAAGGAUCGACGUGUUUCUAUCUUACAAUUGGCUAAACUAGCUUCUAGGUCUCUGUUAAGUUUACAGAAUGAAUUUUGAGACCUCCUUUCCACUUUUUGUUCCAAACUUCAUACAAUCCAAAAUAAAUCUUAUCACUAUUGUUCCCCUUCCCUUUUGUUAUCGUAAUAGCUUUUGAUAUUAUCUUUUUACCAUUAAUCUCAGUUGUCAAAUUCACCUUUCUCCAUUGAGUGUUAUCUCCCCAUUUAGCCAUAAGAUAAAGUGGCGAACCACUCCAACCGAACGCAUCAGUCAUCAAUGACAUUGUAAAUCCAAUCUCGUAUGAUGUUUUCUUCGCUAUAUUAAUAUUGUCAAUGCAACCAGUUACCUCCAACCAAUUUACUUGCAUAAGUUCUGCAUCAUCCUUUCUGUAAUUCAAAUAUAUUUAAUGAAAACGUUAGCAUGCUUAAAUUCCAAAUUAUAAGGUAGUAUGUAGUAUAACCCAUUUAAUUUCUAUAACUUAGAUAAUUUGUUUUGAAAGUCUCUUUCAGCCAUUUUAAUUUAACGCUUUUGUAUAUACAACAAGAGAUUAGUAUAAUUAAAUUGACCUCAAGAUGAUUUAUGUACUCCUUAUAGAAAAUUGUAUGUUCAACUUCUUUAUGAAAUCGAAAUAUAUCUCAAAGUUCAAUUAUAACUUACAAGUAUCUAACAUAUUAUAGUCGGCAAAAAUAAAAAAUAAAAAGCAGUAUUCUUACUCGUAUUUGGGUAACUUCCAAUAACGUUUAUCAUUUCCCCAAAUAAUAUUAAGAGAUUUCGGAUAAACUAUAUAACCCUGCAAGCAACGAAAAUAACAUUAUUAAAUUAAUACAUAACAUAUCAUAAACUCGAUGGAUCGAGCAUAAGUAAUAAUGCAAGAAGGAAACAAAAAUUGCAAUAUUGGAAGAAAUUAAUGCAUGAAUUUCAUGCACCUUUUCUGAUUUAGAGAAUGUGUAAUUGCCUUGAUAGUGAAGAGAUUUUAAAGCCAUUUUUUGCUAUAUAAGAAUUUUUUUUAACAAAGAAUAUGUAGAAAGGACUGUUUCAACAUGUCAGCUUUCUGGUAUUAAAUUAAACUUUAAGGGUAUUAAAAUCUUUUAAAAAAAUUUGCAAGAUAAACUUGCUUUAAAAAGUUCUAUAUCUUGCAUUGUUAUUUGAUCCUAAGUAAAAACUCUUAAAAAGGUCCUCCUUUUUCAAUUCAACUACAAACUAUACCAUGCCAUUCAAGAAUAUGAUCGGUCCCACUUUCUUAAUAUGUCAUCGAAGAAUAUGACAGGUCCCACUUUCAUCUCUUUUUUUUUUUUUUACUUAAUUCAUUAUUCAAAAAUAAAUUUCAUUUUGAUUGUCAUUUUUCAUAUUAAUAUUUUUUUUUAAAUCACAUUUUAUCUAUCGUAUUAAUUAAUUAUUAAACAUCAAUUAAUAGAAAUAGUGUAAUAAAAUAACUAUAUCAAUUAUUUUUUAAUAAAUAGGUCAAACUUAAAUAUGACAAGUAAAAAUGAACAGAUAUACUAUAUAAUAAGAAGAGAUUGUAGAAAGGAUAAAUAAUGACAGAAUUAAGGAAAAUGUUAUCAUCUUAUUGACUGAGAUUUUUAUGGGAAAUUAAUUCACAUGCUCUAAUUAUAAUUAAUAAAGUAAAUAAAUGGUAUCAUUUAUUUUACUCUUAUAUUAAAAAUAAAAUAAAAUUGUUUUACUUUUUUAUUUUAAUAAAUUAAGAAAAUUAAUUAUUUUUGACUGACUUUAUCAUUAUCGUUAAGUAAUUAUAUAAAAUACUAAUAGUCAAAUUAAAAUUUUCAAAAUAUAAUUAAUAAAAUAAAUAAGGCAUCUUCCCCUAUGCUUAAUAUAUAUACUCUUAUUAUAUAAGAGAGAGUUCACACUGAAGCAAGCACGUCUCUGUCAACGUGCCCUGCUUCAGCAUGUUUCGAAAAAAAAAUUAAAAAAUGAUUUCUUUUGUUCUAUUAUAAUUUAACUAGUGUAUAAUAUUUUUGAAAUUAUGAGAUCCGUUUUAGCUAUGACUUUUAGUUUUGAAUUCAUAUUAUUUAGUUAUAGCUUUAUUAUUUUUAAUGUCGGUAAUAUUUGUUUAUAUCUUGUAUCUACUUUGAGUAAAAAAUUAACGAUUGAUGACGAAAAAUACUUUAAUUAUGGGGAUCUUAAUGGACCUCUUCACAUUAAAUUUGCACAAACCAAAAGUAAUUAACAAAUUAAGGACCUCUUCACAUUAAAUUUGAGCAAACAAAAAAUAAUUAACAACUUAAAAAAUAAUUUUAAAUUUUAUCUAUAUAACAUUAAUUAAAAUUAAAAAAUAAUAGAUAUUGGGCCCGUACUAGCACGGGCACCUGUGUCUAGUAUAAAUAGAAAUGGAAUCAAGUUAAGAUCAAUAUCACCAACCAAAUGGAAUAACACAGUCUUAUAUUUUCUAAUAUAAGUUGAUAGGCAUUUUUGUAAAAGUUUUUUUUUAAGGAAACGUUUAAAUUAUUCCUUCUGGGCUUACUCCGUACAAAUCUGAACUAAUCAGAGUGAUAAAGUGUCAUGGGCAAAGCUAGUAACUCGGAUAUUGAUUUGAUCUAACUCAAUAGUUUUAAUUUGCUCAAUCGUUAUAUUUGGUUGAAAACACUUAUUGGAUAUAUAUACAAUAUUAAAUUUAAAAUUCAGUUAUUAUUAUUUAAAGUCACCUUUUUAAAAUUCAGAACUUAUAAAAUUGAAAUUGUAACUCUACGGAUAAAUCAUACUAAUUAAUUUCGAACGUGGAAAAUGAUCGCACAUACAAAAAAAGUUAAGAAAAUAUACUCCACUUAAUAAUUAGUUGUCAAAAUUGAAUGCAAUGAAGGUAGAGAUUGAUUCCAAAUUGAUAAAGCUCGAAUAAUUAUAUGUCAACUGCAAAACUGGCUUUAUACUACUCAUAAAUAUUCUCACACGGUAAUUGGAAUAUUACAGUAGUAGUUUAUUAAAAUAUCGUUUUCAUUGCUUAUUUAUUAUUAGUUCACAUAUUCUACUUUUAUUAAAACCUUCUUUGAAUGAAAUAUAUAUCACUUGAUUCUAGUCAGCAUAUAUUUAUUCCAAAGUAAGUGUAAUUGUUCAAUGAAUACUUGUCUUAAUUUUAUUAUGUGCAUGAAAGCUGUAUUUGAAAAUCAUAAAUAUUUAAAUCAUAUUCUUGUAAAGAGUGAUGAUCAAACCAAAUAUCAGUCGAUGAAAUAACUUCGAAAUGUUGAAAAAACAUAAUGAAUUGUACAUAUAGCAAUUGUAUGAUUAAGUAAAUCAAAUAGAUACACAAGUAAUCUCGAUUAAAUUAAUUGUAUGAUAAUAAAAUGAAUUUUGGGGUAAUUGAAAUAUAUAGAAGAUCAAUUAUGCUUUGCCCGACCAUGAGUAUGUCAUGGUUAUUGUGGGAUGUUGUGAUGAAAAUUAAAUAAUCAGAUCGACUGAAAAAUAAUUCACAAGUGAUUAUACGUUUUUAUUAUUAGUGGAAAAGCAGUACUAUGGAAGUCAUCCAAGUAGAUGUGUAUCCCUCACUUUACAAUGGACUUAUGUACUCAGAGCUUUAGACAAAGUCCAUGAAGAAUCUUAAGAGAUAUGAUGUCAUGAUCCAGACCGUUGUGAGUGACACACACUAACAAUAACAACCUAGUGGGAGAACCAUGUACGAACCCAACAUCGUUCAAAAACCAAGUUUAUCAUAUAAAGAGUAAAACAAUUUAACAACCAAAGGAUUGAGUCCUCAUAAACUCAACUAAAUAGUUUUAAAAUGUUUAAUGCGGAAAAACCUCUAAGAACUAAAAGUCAUCAUAACCAAAAUUCUAAAAUAGUCAAACUGGGGAUGCAACCCCCGAAUCAAUCAAUAAACUAAAGACUAGUGUCUAUCUCCGAAAAGAUGGACAAGAAAAGCAGAAGACCCCAUGGCAACUCGAAAGAUGUAGCACACCCUUGUAUUCAAGACAUCUCUCAACUGAGGUCUUGGAUUAGCUGGUAGAAGAUGUGAAGUACUCAACAAAGAAAAGAACAAGUACAACAUCACUACACAAACCACAGUGUACUACUAGGAGCACACAAUCAAUCCAACAUAGGAAUGUAAACAACUCACCACAAGUAGUAACACAAAACAAUGCACAUGACAACAAUUAUCAACCACAUAAACUCUCAGUCACAUGUCAUGGAACAACAAUACCUAAGUCAACCAAUGCAUGACAACAUGUCCCAUAUGAUCACAAUGCAAAUGAUCAGUCCUUUCAUGGAACCACAAUCACUUACCUGGUUCUCUCACAUAACCCAAACCCAAAUUGUUAGUGUAUGACAUGGUAUCCGAUCGAGUCAUCCAUAGUUAGUAUAUCAGCAUGGUACCCAAGUCAACCAACAAUCACAAACAACAUGCACAAUCACAUAGAACAAUAAACAAUACCACUUGAAAACCACAAGUCGCAAUAACAAGUUCGUGGCAUGAGAUUACCUAUAUGAUGUCAUUUCAUAUGUCUUUCUGCUUUGCAUUGCACAAAUGAUACUACAAAGCAGCAGACAUGCAUACAUACAUUAUAAACUGGAAACAUACGACUAUAACCUACCUUGAAUCAAGCCUCUUCGAAACUAAAUAACACGAAUUUUCCCCCUUGCGAAGUGCAUCAACUUAUUCUUGGUCUAAAACAACAAUCAACCACUAAUGACUUCGAUUAUUAACAAAUCCUAACCCUUGGCCAAAACAUGAUCAUCUUCCCUAACUUAAGGUUCUUUCCCACCAUGGAAUUAUGGCAAACCUUCCCCUAAUAGCAAUAACGUAGAUUCUAAGGCUUAAGAAGCAAUGCAUAAGGUUGAGGAGUCGAAUUCUUACCUUUAUCGAAUAAUUUCGUGGGAAAACAUGUGCAAACUAUCCGAAAUUGCUCCUCUCAAGUCCCAGAACUCAAAGUGCAGGAAAUAAGAGUUUUGGGAUUGUUUCUGCACUAAAACUCGAUUGGGUCCAUUAUAGCGGCGUCGUUAUAGCGUACUAACCCAAUUAUAGCGGUCUGCACACUCUGUUGUAGCAGGAUGCCUUCCGCUAUAGCGGCCUCAACGAAACCUCCGAAACUCAAACUCUAGAAAAACGUCAGUUUUACAACACAAACUGCGCUCCCUUGAUGUCCCGACACAUACCUUUCACUCCAAAAUCAAUUUCGAGAGUUAAACUUAUCCGAAUUUGAUUUCGAAAGGCCCUAUGGACUCUUCGAUGUCUUGUCUACAAGAAUACAUCAACCAAACCUCAAAAAUCACAUCCCACCUAUCCCUGGAUGACCCUAGACCUCACCUAGCCCAGAUUUUAUCUAAGGCUAGUCUAGCCACAAAAAAAAAAGUCACUACCAGAAAAGUUUUCUAGCCCAAAUUAUUUCACUAUUGGCUUUGUAACAUAUCGCACUUAUAAAUGACUAUAAAGAAUUUAAAAAUAUGAAAUAUUGAUUUUUGGAAAGAAUAAGGAAAAUCUGGAAAUUUUUGUCUAAGUUAAGAAAAUGAGUUUUGGCCAUUUUCAAAAGGCCAUAACUCCUAGCUCAGGAUGAGUUAGGAUCAGCUCUUGAUAUGGUUGGAAAUCCCUUGGAGAUAUCUUUCCAACGCCGCAAAGUUUGCGCUAUUUUGACAUCAUAUGAGUGAGCUAUGCCUUUCGGAAGUUGGGUCUUCGAGUGCCAGUUCCGUCGAGGGUGUAGGCUCGGAGAGUGACAGGCUUACUCAUAACGACCGGGUUAGGUCGUUGCAUAUGAUCGUUUUAAAUUGACCCUUGCAUAAUCUCAUGUAAAAAAAUUAUCGGUAGGAAAACUUUGAACUCGACUUGGUGUUAGAGGUUCAUUAUGACCCUAAUUCACAUUUAAUACACUUCCAAUACUUAGAAAUUAGUUUAACACAGAUACAAAAUUAGAAAUCAUCGGAUUGGAAUAUAUACAUAUAUAUAUAUAUAUAUAUAUAUAUAUAUUAUAUAUUCAAAAAAUAGUUUGAAUCGUAGCUUAUAAUUUGUGGGUGAAUCUAGUACUAAUUUAUACUUCUUACACUUGGAUAAGUGAGUUUUAAAAUGCCACUAAGCUCAUAUAUAGACCUUAGUAACAUAUAUUCACAUCUUUUGCAUGACUUUUAAAUAACUAUUGAUAUGGGAAGAACUAGAAGCUAGCCGUCGUCGUGAAGACUUAUUGUUUGGAAAGUCAAUAAUUUUUCUUCAAAUAUGAUUUUCUCGUUUUUUUUUAAAUAUCAAUUUUGUUUUUAAACUUUUGAAAUUUUUCAUAUUCAAAAUAUAGUAUUUUAACCCUCAUAGAUCCCUACUACUUAUCCAAUAAAAUACGACAAAGGGAAAGGGUGUGAAGUCCCGAAGGAGAGAAUAUGAGAGGAAAAUCAAAUUUCAUUUAUUAUACGAACAAUAUUAAAUACAAAUACAAAUUUAAUUAAAAGAACACAUGACUCUAAAAUACAUGAAUAAGAUUUUUAACUUAAGUUUUUCCUAUAUUAAAUUAUGAUUUAUGAAUGAUAAUAAUCGAUGUAUUUCUAUCAUAUAAUUUUCUUGUAAUAUUGUUUUUUCACUCGACUAAAUUAGUUUUUAGGUCUCUGUCAAAUUUACAGAAUGAAUUUUGAGACCUCCUUUCCACUUUUUGUUCCAAACUUCAUACAAUCCAAAAUAAAUCUUAUCAGUAUUGUUCCCUUUUCCUUUUGUUAUCGUAAUAGUUUUUGAUAUCAUCUUUUUGCCAUUAAUCUCAGUUGUCAAAUUCACCUUUCUCCAUUGAGUGUUAUCUCCCCAUUUAGCCAUAAGAUAAACUGGUGAAUCUCUCAAACCGAACGCAUCAGUCAUCAAAGACAUUGUAAAUCCAAUCUCGUAAGAUAUUUUCUUCGUUAUAUUAAUACUGUCGAUGCAACCAGUUACUUCCAACCAAUUUACUUGAAUAAGUUCCGCAUCAUCCUUUCUGUAAUUCAAAUAUAUUUAAUAAAAACGUUAGCGUGCUGAAAUACCAAAUUAUGACAUGUAGUUUUACAAUCUAAUUAAUGUACAGAUUUAAUUUCUAUAUAUAAUUUAGAUUUGGUGCGCCCAUAAUUUGUUCUGAAAGUCUCUUUGCGCUAAUUUAUUGCCUACUUCACAUUUUUGCAUAUAUAUACCAUAAGAGAUUAUUAUAAUUAAAUUUAUCUCAACAUGAUUUAUGCACUCUUAUAUUGUCUUCAUUAUGCAAAAUGUAUUCCAUAUAGAAAAGUUUAUGUUCAACUUCUUUAUGAAAUCAAAAUAUAUCUCAAAGUUCAGCUAUAAGUUACAAGUACGUAACAUUAAAUAAUUGGCAAACAUUUUUAAAAAAAGAAAGAAAAAAAAGUUGUAUACUUACUCGUAGUUAGGUAACUUCCAAUAACUCUUAUCAUUUCCCCAAACAAUAUUAAGAGAUUUCGGAUAAACUAUAUAACCCUGCAAGCAACAAAAAUAACACUAUAUUAAAUAAAUAACAUAAACAUGAUGGAUCGAGCAUAAAGGAAAGUAAUAAUGGGAGAAACAAGAAUUGCAAUAUUGGAAGAAAUUAAUGAAUGAAAUUUCCUGUACUUUUCUGUUUUAGAGAAUGUUUGAUUGCCUUGGUAAUGAAGAGAUUUAGAAGCCAUUUAAUUUGCUAUAUAAGUUUGAAUUAUUAAAGAAUGUAGAGAUUUGAGUGCCUUAUAAUAAUUUUCGCUACAAAAAUCAGAUAUAUAUAGAGAUAGAAAUGGAAUCAAAUCACACGUAUUAAGAGACAUUUAGCAUAGAAUAUCAACCAAUCAAAUGGAAUAAAAUAUCAUGUCUUAUAUUCUAAUAUAUAUGUUGGCAUGCAUUUUUCUACAAGUUGUUUUAAGGAAACGUUUUACUCCUUAUGGGAUUUGGCUUACCUUACUCAGUGGAGUAGCCUGGAUACGGGUUCGACUGAACUCAAUAGUUUUAUUUAAGUAGUAUAUUUAUGUUUAAAAUAAUCAUCAAAUAUAUGUAUAGUAAAUUUAAAACUCAAUUAUUAUUAAUGAAAGAUCGUCAUUUUAGAAUUCAGAAUCCAUCAAAUUAAAAUUGUGACUCACUCAAAUUUACCAGUUAUUUUAAACGCGGGAAAUGAUAAAACCGACAAAAACAAAGUUAAAAAUAUACUCCUUACUAUAAUGAAUUGUCAAAAUUGAAUGCAUGAAGGUAGAGAUUGAGGCCAAUUGAAUAAUAUAAUAUACCCACAACAAAUUUGGCACUGUAUAUUAUUCUCACACGUUGAAUAUUUACAGUACUAUAUAUAGUUCACAUAUUCUACUUUUACAACUUUUUUUCAUUUAUUUUUUUAAUCAACUAUCACUUGAUUCUAGUCAGCCCAAAUUACCUCGAUUUAAUUGUAGUUAAAUUUGACUUCUCUACUUAAUCUUGGUUUUUAAAAUUCACUUUUUUUGCUUUAAUUAAACUUUGACAUGGAAGAUAUUAAUUAAUAUAAGAUAUUUGGUGAUAAUCAAUUUAUACCUAAACCGAAAAAAAGCAUAAUAAGUGAGGGGCCUAAUUAAGUUGGACAAAACAUGGUCAAAAUUCCUAUUAUUAAAUUAACCAGUAUACAUUCCCGCGCGUUGCACGGAUAAUAUAAAAAAUUAUUAUAUAUAUAUGAAAUGAAAGAACAAAUCACAUGAUCAUUUAAUAACUUGUACAAUAUACUUUGCGUUUGUUCGUUACUACAUUAUUAUUAACUACUUAAAAUCAUAACAUUAUCGACUAAAUUUUGAUUAACUUAUCACUUACUUUAAUAUUCUUUUUCGUUAAUCUUCUAUUUAUAUAAUACAAAUAAAUAUAUAUAUUUUCAUUAUAAAAUAUUAUUUAAUUUUAAUAAUAUUUUAAAUAUUAUAAGUUUAUUGUUAUUAUUGACACUCUUUAUUGUUUUUUUUUUUUUACUUGAAUUCAAGUAAAAACAUUUGCAAAUUAUUUGUAUUCUUUUGAACAUUUUUUGCACUAAGAUAUUUUAUAAGUUUUAUAUUUUUGUAUGUUAACGUAUUAAUAUCUUACUUAAUACUAAAUUAUGAUUUUAAAUUUGUCCCAAAGUACGAAUAGAGAUGUUUUUAAUAUUAUCAAAAUUGCAAGUGGUAUUUUCUCAUGGAUAAUGCUAAAGAAGUUAAAUUUUUUGAUGAAGGCAUUAGAUUAUUCCGAUCAUUGUAUUACUUAACAACACUAAUGACAUUCCUUCAAAUAUAAAUACUACCUUAUACAAUAAGAAAAGUAUAUAAUAUUUGAAGCUUUAAGUAAUAUAAAAAUUGAAUUAUUCUUUGUUAUGAUAUUUUAUUUUUAGAGAAAACGAAAAAGUAAGCGAAACUUGAUUUAUAUACGAAAGUUAUUUGUCUGCACAAUCAAGUGAAACUUAACUUAUAUACGAAAGUUAUUUGUCUGCACAAUAAUCACGUCAAAGUUGAUGUGUGACUUUAACACCUACAUAUCAAGAUCAUAAAACAUUAUAAUACAGCCAUGCAAACGAUUUAUACAAAGACAUAUUCACACACACCAUAUAUUUAAUUAGUAUCAUUUGAAUAUCACAUGCAUUUGAAUGAACUAUAUAUAUAUUGCCAGUAAGCUAGAGUUCAAGGAUCAUGCCCCAUUAAAUAUAGUAUUCAAUUAUAAGCAAACAGAAAAAAGAAAAAAGAAAAAAAAAAGAUAUGAAUUCAAUAUAACAAUAGAUAGUAUUUUGUGCUAGGAGUCAUCCUAGUAAAUUUGUCAAGUCAAUAUUUAAUACUCUUUCUAUUGCCAAAAUAAAUUAAAGUUAUCCAACAAUUACCAUCGCUAUAAUAUAUAAUGGAAAUUAAGAAUGUUUUGUUAAAUUUUUUAUUUCUUAUACAUUAAAAAAAUACACAUGUAGACUUGUAGUUGUUUAGUCUUCACCUUCAUAAAUUUUAAUAAAUUAACAAAUGUGACAUUUUUUCCAUAUCCAGUAUUACUCUUUAUUCUCUUUUUUAUUUGUACUAAGUUUGAAAUUACGCACAAAAAUUAAAGAAAUAAAUUAAUAAAGUGAACAAACUAUCUAAAUUUCAAAUAUAUGAAAUAUAAAUACAUACAUUGUCAUUAAUUCAAGUAGAUUUGGAGUUGCUCUUUUACUUCAAGAAUCCCCCAAACACGAAAAUCUCACUUUUUGUAUUCAACGGCAUAAGCAGAAAAGAUAUAGAAUUUAACACUUGAAUUCAAAAAUUGGAUCAAACGCAUUAUAUUAGAAUAUCUUAAGUUAAGAAAUAUCUAACUAUCAUCAUAUUUUUCAAUGCAUUAAAUAAUAUAUAUAUAUAUUCACUUUAAACUAUGAAUUAAUUAUGCGUCAGUAUGACUUACCAAAUAAAUUGAUGAAAAUAUAAUCAAUUACUAAAAUUUUGAGUGAUAUAUUCAAAUAUUUAUUGCAUUAAAAGAUCAUCAAAAAAGUAGCAAAAUAUUGCAAAAGAAAUAGAUUACCAAAAUUUUAGGAGAUACAAUUAGUUAUUAAUUUAUAUUACAAUAAAAGAUAGUCAAAAUCUGCAAAAGAAAUUUUAAACACUGCUUUAUAUAUAGCAUUGAUGCAAAAUUGGAGAAAUUUUUUCAGAAGUAUUAGAUUUGAUUAUGUUACUACUGAAAUAACAAUACAGUCACUCAUAUUUAUCUGUAUUAGAUAGAAAAUACAUGUGAUGCUUGGACAGAGAUUGAACAAAAUUAAUAAAUUACAUAAAGUUAUGUAUGAACAAUCAAGGCUCAAGAUAUUUCCUCACUAUCAAUAUUGAGAUUUGAAAACAUACAGUAAGUAAAGAGAAAAGAAGAGACAGAUAACGUAGUGGAUAGAAUUAAGGGUAAAUUUGAGAAGUUAUAACUGCUUUAAAUUUUAAAAUAUUUUAAAAUAGUUUAUCAAUUGUAGAAAAAUAUUAAAUCUUUUUUUAAGAUGCCGACAUUUGUCAUUAUGUGUGUAUGUUGAUGACAUGUGUCUAUUUUUAUUUUAAAUUUUGAAUUUGUAAUAUUUAAUUAGUAAUAUAAUAUUUAAUUAUUUAUAAUUUAAAAUUCUGAAAAUUUAUGAUAAUGACAUGUGGCGUUUUUUCUUCUCCUAUUAUAUAUAGAUAGAUUAGUUGGAUUCAUGAUAAUGUUUUAAAUGACGAAAGAAGUGAUUGUGUAUUUCCUUUAAUAUUUGCUUAUUGGCAUAUAUUUAUUCCAAAGCAAGUGUGAUUGUUCAAUGAAUACAACAACAGUAGAGUAGGUCUAGUUUUAUCUUAAUUUCAUUAUGUGAAAUCAGUAUUUGAAAAUCAUAAAUAUUUGAAUUUUAAAGCAGUAAGAACUUCAGUUGAUUUAAUUAAAUUAAAUUCUUGUAAAGAAUGAUGGUCAAACCAAGUAUAUAUCAAUUGAAAUAAGUUUAAAUGUUGGGAAAACAUAAUGAAUUGUAUACUACAUGGUAUAGGAAUUGGCCAAAAAGUAAAGUAAAUAAACAAAGUAAUCCGAUCAAAUUUAUUUGAGGAUAAUGAAAUGAGGCAUGAGCGUAAUUGAAAAUUGAAAUAUACAAGAUUAAUUUGCAUGACAACGUUUCAUAUUUUAGUAUCAUCACUCAUCUCAUAUUUUGUGUUAUUUUUUUAAGAAAUAACUUAGAUAGUUGUAUUUUGGUUGGACUUAUAAAGAAAUAUUUGGAGAACAAAUUAUUUAUAUGUUGUAUGAAUACUUUACCGAAAAAAUCCAAAAACCUGAAAAAACCCGAGGUUUAUUAGUUUGGUUUGAUUUAAAAAUUAAAAAAUUCGACACAAAUAAUUUGGUUUGGUAUUUGAAAAACCCGAACCAACUCGAGGUUGUAAAACUCGAAAAAAAAACCCCAGUUUUAUUAGUUUGAUUUGGUUUAUAAAUUUAAAAACUUUACACAAAUGGUUUGGUUUGAUAUUUGAAAAACGCGAACCAACCCGACCCUGCUAAUAAUAAACAAGUUGUGGCAAAUCAGAACAAUUCUAUAUAUUUCCAAACGAAAAGGAAGUUGUUGGGAAGGCUACAGGGAAUUCAAUCCUCUCCAAACUACCCUGGUAGCAACUUCUCCUAGACCUAGAAAAUAGACUUAUAAUCGAAUACAAUGAAAUCUUAAAAAGAGAGGAAGAAUAUUGGAAGCUCAGGUCCCGAAUAAAUUGGUUAGCAUAAGGUGAUGCUAAUACUAAGUUCUUCCACUCUACCACCCUAAAUCGUCGUAGAAGAAAUAAAAUCUUGUCCUUACAAAUAGACGACGGCAGUUGGUUAAGCAAUCAAAAUGACAUCCUAGAGUUCACCACCUCUUACUUUGCCAACUUGUUUAACUCUAACCACAACCAGUCCCCUAGAUGCUUCGUAACUCAAGAUCAUUCCUUAUCCAGAGAAGACCUUACCUCUAUGGGUGACACCUUAAGUGAAGGAGAAAUUGCACUUGCAGUCUUCUCCUUCAAGCCGCAUAAGGCGCCUGGGCCAGACGGUGUCCAUCCUUUCUUCUACCAAAAAUACUGGAAAACAGUAGGACAUUCAGUAAUAGAAUUCUGUAAAAAAAACUUGGGCAGAUGAAUGCAUCAACCCAGAAAUUAACAGCACAAAUGUGUGUCUUAUACCUAAAGAGAAAAAUGCUUCGAACCUAAAAGAUUUUAGACCCAUUAGCCUUUGUAAUACCACCUACAAGAUAAUUACUAAAAUCAUAGUAAACAGAAUUAAACCUAUUCUUAACAAAAUUAUUGGCCCCUGCCAGGCAAGUUUCUUUAAGAACAUGCAGGCUACCGAUAACGUUAUUAUUGUACAGGAGAUUCUAAACCACUUUAAAAAAAUGAAGGGUCAGUACGGAAAUAUGAUAUUAAAGAUAGACCUAGAGAAGGCCUUUGACAAGUUAGAAUGGUCUUUUGUGAAAUAUACCCUGCAUUUUUUCAAUUUUCCCCUAAAGAUCAUAAACCUCAUAAUGUCUUGCAUCUCUUCUAGUAAGAUUGCUAUCUUAAUUAACGGUACUACAACAAAAUAUAUUACACCCAACAGAGGAAUUAGGCAAGGGGACCCUAUGUCCCCUUACCUAUUCAUUAUGUGUAUGGAGGUACUUGCAAGAAAAUUAAUAGCCAAGUACUCCAGAAAGUGUGGAAACCCGUACGAAUCGCAGGAAAGGGACCUAAACUAUCCCAUCUAUUCUUUGCAGACGAUUUAGUACUUAUAGGAAAAGCGGAACUUGAAACUUGCUUAGCAAUAAAAAAAUACAUUGCAAGAUUUCUGCUGUAUGAGUGGACAGAGUGUAAACCAUGCUAAAUCAAAAAUUCUAUUCUCUAAUAAUUGUAGUAACUCACUCAAUCAAUCCCUAUCGGUAGCUAUAGGAAUCCAAGAAAGUAGUAACUUUGGGAAGUACCUUGGGUUCCCUAUUUUUCACCAAAAGCCCACAACUAGGGAUUUCCAAUUCAUUAUAGAUAAUAUGCAGUCAAAGUUAGCUAGUUGGAAAACGAAAUUCUUGAACAUAGCGGGUAGAACCACGCUAGCAAAAUUGUCCCUUAAUAGCAUCCCAACGUAUAUAAUGCAAUUAACUAAGCUGCCUGCUUGUAUCACGAAAAGGGUGGAUCAAAUCCAGCGUAAUUUUAUCUGGGGGUCCACGGAUAUUAAAAAAAAAGCUUCACCCUAUUAAUUGGAACUUAGUUACGACAAGCAAAAAAGAUGGUGGUCUAGGAAUCCAAAGAUGUAGCAUAAAAAAUAGAGUCAUGUUAGCAAGACUAGCCUGGAGGGUAUUUAAAAACCCAAAUGCCCUAUGGGCAAAAACGCUCCUAGACAUUUAUACAAAAUCAAAUGGUCUAAGGAAUAACUCAAAUCAUAAAAAACAAAAAAGUUCCUACUGGAAAAACAUAAUAAACGGAUGGGAAGAGUGCAAAGAAUGCAUUCACUGGCUAGUUAGGGACGGAAAACAAAUAAAUUUUUGGACGGACCAUAACUCCACGACGCUAAGAAACAUGCUUAGUGGGCCCCUUCCUAUGGAAGAUACGGAGAGGUUAGUUAAUUCAGUCAUUAUAAAGGGGCAGUGGAAGCUUGAGAAUAUUCCUUACCCUUUACUACAAAGUGUCAUUUAUCAAAUUAACAUCCCCCAUAUUCCAAAUCCAAAAGAUAAGCCUUAUUGGGCACUUACAGCUAAUGGGUCAUUCACCACAUCCUCAGUGUAUCAUCAUAUUAAGGGAAAAUUAAUCAAAACAUAAAGUUUCUUCCAAUAAGGAAUUUAACGGGAUCUGGAAACUCCAGUGCCCGAACAAAAUUAAAUUCUUCCUCUGGCUUAGCAAUCAUAGGUGUAACGACCCUAAAAACGAACUAGUGAAACUAGAGCCUCACAUGUGAGUUUGGAGUUGAGAACUUGAUGAAAUGAUGAGAAAUGACCAUGACGUUCGGAAACUAGUCAUUUGAACUAGUGAGUUGUAAGGGUCAACUUUAAAUGGUCAUAUCUUUUAGCUCAAAAUGAAUUAUGUGGACCUUUACCUAUCCAAUUAAAGGUCUCUGAGUCCUCUUUCCAACGCCAUUGAGUUUGCCCAAUUCCGACCUUGGAGUAAAACGUUAUGCCUGAAAUAGUGAAGCACUGUCCAAAGGACGAGUUUAGACGGGAAUGGGCACAAUUUUUAAGUCAAGACUUUAUGGGUCCUUAGUCCUUUUCCAAAAUUGACCCUAUGCUAUUCUUUUCCUUUCCUAGCAACUAUAAGACCUUUUUAUGACCCAAUUCCUUUCAUUUAAGUCACUCCUCUUAGAAUUUCCAAAAAAAAAUGAAGCUAUAUGUGAAGGUAUGAUGUGAAUGAGUUUUAUGUGAAGCUAUAUGUGAAGGAAUGAUGUGAAUGAGUUUUAUGUGAAGCUAUAUGUGAAGGAAUGAUGUGAAUGAGUUUUAUGUGAAGCUAUAUGUGAAGGAAUGAUGUGAAUGAGUUUUAUGUGAAGCUAUAUGUGAAGGAAUGAUGUGAAUGAGUUUUAUGUGAAGCUAUAUGUGAAGGAAUGAUGUGAAUGAGUUUUAUGUGAAGCUAUAUGUGAAGGAAUGAUGUGAAUGAGUUUUAUGUGAAGCUAUAUGUGAAGGAAUGAUGUGAAUGAGUUUUAUGUGAAGCUAUAUGUGAAGGAAUGAUGUGAAUGAGUUUUAUGUGAAGCUAUAUGUGAAGGAAUGAUGUGAAUGAGUUUUAUGUGAAGCUAUAUGUGAAGGAAUGAUGUGAAUGAGUUUUAUGUGAAGCUAUAUGUGAAGGAAUGAUGUGAAUGAGUUUUAUGUGAAGCUAUAUGUGAAGGAAUGAUGUGAAUGAGUUUUAUGUGAAGCUAUAUGUGAAGGAAUGAUGUGAAUGAGUUUUAUGUGAAGCUAUAUGUGAAGGAAUGAUGUGAAUGAGUUUUAUGUGAAGCUAUAUGUGAAGGAAUGGUGUGAAUGAGUUUUAUGUGAUCUUGUGAUGAUCCUAUGUAAAGUGGAUAGCAUUGUGAGUUAAAGUAUGAUUUCUCAUGAUGUAUAUAUGAAAUGAUGUUGGAUUAUGAAGUAUCCUUAAAUGAAAAUGUUGUGACUUGGUUGGUAGACUAAAGUGUCCCUCCUUGUUACUUAAAGUCUUGAAUGCAUGAAUGUGUGAAAUGGGCAAAACUAAGAAAUGGUGCCCUUUCAUAAGUCUAGCUUUCCUAAGUAAAUGUAAAACCAUGAAAUCGGUAGACCUAAUGGUGGUAGCCCUUCUCAUGUGUGAAAUGAUGAACCUUGGAUCGGUAGGCCUAAGGCACCCUUCUAGGGGGAUUUAAUGAGCUAUCCUUAUGAACCUUGAUUGGCCAUGACUAAGAAAUGGGGCCUUUCUUGGGAAGAGGUACUAUGAGUUGGUUGAACUAGAAAAGGAACCUUCUCUAAGUACAUAUGUGAUUGAAUACUCUAUGGGAAACAAGGCUAGCACCGAGUGGAUGUGGUUAGGAAGGUGGCCUAGUUGAGUAUGAGAUUAGGCACAAUGAACUUCCUUGGACAUCCCUUAACCAUGUGCCUACAUGGGUUGCUUACUAGUUCUACCUUUGGCAAGUAGAACAACCUCCACGGAGUAGGAUAGACUCCGGAUUCCAUACCUAGCUAGUAUGGUCUAUGUCGGUUAUGCCUAUUCCCAUCAUGUGGGAUGUGCACUCUAGUUAUUGGAUAGGUUCUACAACGUGUAGGUAGUAGUAUGGGAUGCUAUCUACACAUGGCACGAGUAGGCUUUGAAGAUACUAAAGUGAGUUCCCUAAGUCUAACGACUAUUAUGUGAAAGUCCCCUUAUGUGCUUGAAUGUCUCCAAAAUGGUUUCUUAAAGAAUGUUGGUCUAUUGAUGUUAUGUUGUAAAGGAAAUGUCCUUAUCUAAGGUAAUCUUGGGGAACACUUAAGUGUGCUUGAAGAGGUUGUAUGGGCGGUCACUUCUUGUCUUACUCAAGUGUGUCUUAAGGUUUAAUUAGGUAGAGGUCCUAUGGUAAUGAAAUGACAAUGUGUUCUUUUAUAGCUAAGCAUGGGUUGUAUAUGGACUUAUGUUAAGUAUGUGUGUGCUUGGCUAUGGUCUUAUAUGUUAAUGUUGACUUGUUUUAUGUCUUUUAUACUUGUGAAGUGAAGGUUUUUAUCAAAAUGAUAUGAAGGCAUACAUUCCUUGUAAAUGUCCGUUGUGCAUAUUUUCUUGCAUGGACUCCAUACUUAGUACUUAAUUUUGCUAAUCCCUUUCUUUCCCUUUUUGGACUAAAGUGUAGGGAUUUGGAGAUGGUGACAUGUCAUGGCUACUUGAUAGGUUUCUAAGUGUUGGAGAUGAAGACUUGGUGAGUCCUCAUAGAUUCGAGGACAAUACCCUACAUGUUCCUUUUGAUGUAUUUCUAGUAUUGUUUAAGUUGUGUACGAGAUUAGUCCCAAAUUUUGUACUCUAAAGUAUUAGAUGGUUUUGAGACAUCAUGUAUAAAGUCUAGAAAGUCUUCCGCUUGCUAUUAUUUUGAUUUUUUUUAUGAAAUGUUUUCUUGGUAAAGAAAGUUUUAAAUUCCUUAUAGUUUUAGUGUCUAUGCGAUGAAUGAAUGCUAAGAGGCUUGUAUUAGACCUCUUCGAGGUCGAGUACGCCGGUUACGAAUAGGGGGUGCUCCCGGGUCGUGACAAUAGGAGACUACCGACAAGCCAGCAUCUACACUCUAUUGGGAUCAACAUCAGUCCAAUUUGUCCUAUAUGUGGAGAUGUAGAAACCGAUACACAUAUCUUUGUAGAAUGCCCCAAAGCAUUAAAACUUUGGGAAAAAUUAGGCCUAGUCGAUCAGUUAAAACCUAUCCUAGAUAAGAGAGAAACAGACUAGCUUUUUACAAUUAGGAAAAUCAAGAAUUUUAACAUACAUUGACUCGAAUUACGCUUUUCCUUACUAUGUAUGGAGCAUAUGGUUGAACAGGAACCAUAAUUUCCAUAAUGAAAAGAAAGACGACAUCUUAACUUCCAUACCGCUAGACAGAGCAUUAGAGUUCUUCUACCUAGGUUUAAAGGAAAACGUUGGAAAUAAGACUAGAACUAAUCUAAAGUGGGUGGUGCCCGAAACGGGCUUUAAACUAAACACGGAUGGUUCUUUUAAUUAUCUCACGAGGAAGGGGGGAGCGGGAGGAGUUUUACGGGAUACUAGGGGUUCUUGGAUAACAGGGUUCUCAACAAAGACAAACGUUAUGAAUGCGCUCCACACUGAAAUAUUAGCUCUCCUAAUGGGAUUAAGAAUGGCAGAUAGACACAAGUUAACACCACUUCAAAUAGAAACAGACUCAUCAGACAUCCUUGUGCUGAUUUACGAAGGAAACGAUUCUUUUUCUAACAUAAUCCUUGAAUGCAGGGCAUUGCUCCAGAGGCAGGGGAACCCACAGAUCACCCUUAGACGCAGGGAGCAGAACCAGGUGGCGGAUAGAUUAGCUAAAGAAGCGGUUAAGCUAAAGGAAAACAUAGAUUUUGUGGAAUGGUCAGCCCCACCCAUGUUCAUCAUGAAGAAUAUCGAUGCGGACAAGGAGGGAGUAACCUUUAUUAGGCCUGACAUGCCACCUUCAUCACCGAAUAGUGUAACUCUAGUUGAUAAUGUAGUAGGUAUUCCUGUAUUUUGUAACAUGGAGCGGACAUCUACUUCUUUGUUCAGCACGAAUACUAUAGAUGCUGGAAAGAAGGGAGCAAAUUUUCAGACCUUUGACAUGCCUCCUCCAUCUUCGGAUAGUAUAGCCUUAGUAGCUAAUUUACCUAGUAUUCAAGCUGAUUGUAAUGCUUCUAGCCACCUGAAUUGUAUGGAUGCAUCAUAUCAUAUUAUACUAAAAGUGGAAAGUCACAAACUUAAAAGUUGAAAUACCAUUUUAUCCUUAUCCUAAUUUAAAAUAUCUAAUUAAAUAAUAAUAUUCUAAUUACCUAAAGAUUGAAAUAUUUAAUUAAAUAAUGAUAUUAAAAUCACAUAAAUGGUGAGUGAAUGAAAGUUCAGUAGUGUUUUUUUGUGUGUUUAAUUUUUUAGAAGUUCAACAGUCUCAUUUAAUGCUGCAUAUUCAGUUUUCCCUCAAUAUGCCCACAUAAUUUAUUUACUACAAUCUUAACCAAGCAUCCUUAUUAAUCUUUUUCCUCAAUUUUUGUUUUUUUUUUUCCUUUUUGAUGUAAAAUUUCUGCCCUUUAAUUUCUAAUUUCCAAAUAAUAUUAUUUUUUACUAUUCAUGUUAAACGUAAUACCUCUAUAGCUAAAAGUUGUCUGUUCAAUUCAUAUAACUGCAUCUUUAAAGGUAAUGUACAUUGUACUGACUUUUUCUUUUCCCAACCAUUAAUUUUUCCUCACAAUUUAAUAUAUUCUUAAUUGCUCUCUAUAAAGGUCCGCAAUAAGUUGUUUUCUUUUUAUUGUUCUAUUUGUCUUCUUCUCAUAUACAUUUUUUCCAGGUAUGAUCACAACUAUUAUUUCACUGUUAAUAUGUCAUUGCUUUUGUUUUGUUACUUUCGUUUCCUCUUGAAUUUCAUUGGAUGUCACUUAAUUUAUCGACAUGUUUUGUUUUUGAUUUCUUUCCACCUUUACCCUUUUGUUUGAGCAAUUCUCUAAUUGAGGCUUUCGACUUGGAAAAUGUUUGUUGUUGAGAUACUUUCAUACAUAUAUUUGUCAAAAUAUAAUCCCUAUCAAUUAUAUAGAUUUUGUUCGAUUAGAAAUUACAUUUAUCAUUGGUUAACUCAUUGUCUCUUUAUGUGUAAUUAUUAAUACUUUUACAGGUUUCUUGCUUAUUACUUCCACAUAAUUGGCAUGGUAACACUUUCUCACUUUGUAUUUACUUUUCAAAAACUAAUUUGGUAUUUAUAUUAUUGUUGGAUGAAGUAUACCAACUGCUUGAUUAGUAUCUCUCUAUCUUCAGAAACUCAAAGUAAUCAAAAUAAAAAAUUUAACUUUGAACAAAUAUAUUUAUAGAUUACUAAAACUUACUAAUUAUUUCUAGCGUUAUAUCCACAGCCUAAUCUUAUCCCACAACUUUUAAUUUUCUUCGGGCUAUCUGCUUCUUUUAUUUUCAGUUAAAUUUGUUCAUAUCCUUUAUUUAGAUGCAAUAAAAUUUUACAAUACUCCAAGUUUUAAAUGUAUCAUAUUAAUAUUCUUAUGUCGAUAGUUAUUAAGGAUCUCUAUAACCAGUAGUUAUUACUUUCUUCCCCAGGUGUACAUCAUAAAAUUGACAGUGAUCCCAUGCAUCCAAAUAAAGAUAUAUGUUAAUUGAAUUUCCGUACAACUUUAACAUAUGACUGUAAUAUGGUGGAGGUUACAAUUUUGUAAAGACAAGACACAAGCAUUAAGGCAUGAAGUAUUUGUAAUCAUAAGUGAUGUUGCUCAUAUUCAUAUUUGAACUAUGUAUUGUUGAACUAUCACAUAAAUUAAAUAAUUUGAUAAAUUAAGAAAACCUCAUAAGAAAACGUCAUAUAAUUUGUGGAUUGUGUACAACUACCGACUAUAGUAAUAGUGGCCGAAGUAAAAGAAUAACACUAAAGAAACUUUUUCUUUUUUUGUUUUGAAAAUAAACACCUCUUAAAGUGAAUAAAUCACUUUUUAUAUGGUAAUUUAUUUAUUGAAUUUGUACUUACCCAAAUUAAAGCCUCAUCUUUAUAAGUUUGUGUAUAAGAAUGCUAUUAUGUUGUUAUCAGAUGAUGUAAAGUUUGUUUUUUCAUGCUACACUAGCUAUGCCAAAAGGCACAUGGAUAGCUAUAGAUAAUAAGAAUUUAUUUUAAUUUGAAUGAGACUAUAACAAAUUUAAUAUCACGAUACAUAUGUAUCAUCUAAAGUCUUGAGAACAAAUACUUACUCUAUUUAUGUUAAAUUAAUAUCUAAUAUAAUGUUAAUAUACAUUAUUUAAGAUUUUUAUUUGUACGUUGUUGUGCCGGAGAGAUUCUUAGAAAGAGUUUGAGUCAAUUUUUUUAACUUUAAUAAUUAGUUUUAAAAUAUAAUUGUUCUACUCAUUCAUCUCAAGUUCAACUAUGAUAUUGUUUUGACAUAUAUGAACACCAAUUAUCAAUUUGAGUUUUUUCCUCUUUUAAUUUAAUUUUGAAUCUCACACUAAUAUUUUAAUAGUAUUUAUUAAUUGUUAGGAAUACACGUGCAACGCACGUGUCCAGGACUAGUAUUAUAUAUAAAUAAAUUAACUCCUUCUCAACCAAAAAAAAAAAAAGAACAAUUCUAUAUAAAUCAGUCAUCGUAACUACAUUAAACAUAAUUCCACGAUACUACUCUAACCGUCCCAUAUUGUGUGAAAAUGUAAUACUAUGUUGUGAACCAAACUAUUUUUUCUUUAAUUAUAAUUUUUUCCAAACUUCAUUUUAAUGUUUUGAAUCAUUCACUGUAUUAGCUUGUAAUGAUUUUCGUAUAUAUAUAGUAUAUCCAGCUAUCAUAAAGUUAUGAAUUUCAUGAACCUUUUCUGUUUUAGAGAAUGUGUAAUUGCCUUGAUAGUGAAGAGAUUUUGAAGCCAUUUUUUGCUAUAUAAGAAUUUUUUUUUACAAAGAAUAUGUAGAAAGGACAGUUUCAACAUGUCAGCUUUCUGGUAUUAAAUUAAACUUUAAGGGUAUUAAAAUCUUUUAAAAAAAUUUGUUGCUUAAAAAAUUAGUUCUAUAUUUUGCAUUGUUAUUUGAUCCUAAGUAAAAACUCUUAAAAAGGUCCUCCUUUUUCUAUUCAACUACAAACUAUACCCAUUCAAGAAUAUGAUCGGUCCCACUUUCUUAAUAUGUCAUCGAAGAAUAUGACAGGUCCCACUUUCAUCUCUUUUUUUUUACUUAUUCAUUAUUCAAAAAUAAAUUUCAUUUUGAUUGUCAUUUUUCAUAUUAAUAAUUUUUUUAAAUCACAUUUUAUCUAUCGUAUUAAUUAAAUAUUAAACAUUAAUUAAUAGAAAUAGUGUAAUAAAAUAACUAUAUCAAUUAUUUUUUUAAUAAAUAGGUGAAAUUUAAAUAUGACAAGUAAAAAUGAACGGAUAUACUAUAUAAUAAGAAGAGAUUGAAGAAAGGAUAAAUAAUGACAGAAUUAAGGAAAAUGUUAUCAUCUUAUUGACUGAGAUUUUUAUGGGAAAUUAAUUCACAUGCUCUAAUUAUAAUUAAUAAAGUAAAUAAAUGGAAUCAUUUAGUUUACUCUUAUAUUAAAUAUAAAAAAAAAAUUGUUUUACUUUUUUAUUUUAAUAAAUUAAGAAAUUAAUUAUUUUUGCCUGACUUUAUCAUUAUCGUUAAGUAAUUAUAUAAAAUACUAAUAGUCAAGUUAAAAUUUUCAAAAUAUAAUUAAUAAAAUAAAUAAGGCAUCUUCCCCUAUGCUUAAUAUAUAUACUCUCUUAUUAUAUAAGAGAGAGUUCACACUGAAGCAAGCACGUCUCUGUCAACGUGCCCUGCUUCAGCAUGUUUCGAAAAAAAAAUUAAAAAAUGAUUUCUUUUGUUCUAUUAUAAUUUAACUAGUGUAUAAUAUUUUUGAAAUUAUGAGAUCCGUUUUAGCUAUGACUUUUAGUUUUGAAUUCAUAUUAUUUAGUUAUAGCUUUAUUAUUUUUAAUGUCGGUAAUAUUUGUUUAUAUCUUGUAUCUACUUUGAGUAAAAAAUUAACGAUUGAUGACGAAAAAUACUUUAAUUAUGGGGAUCUUAAUGGACCUCUUCACAUUAAAUUUGCACAAACCAAAAGUAAUUAACAAAUUAAGGACCUCUUCACAUUAAAUUUGAGCAAACAAAAAAUAAUUAACAACUUAAAAAAUCUAAAAAUUACAUUAAAAUUUAAUCAACUUUUUAAAUUUUAUCUAUAUAACAUUAAUUAAAAUUAAAAAAUAAUAGAUAUUGGGCCCGUACUAGCACGGGCACCUGUGUCUAAUAUAAAUAGAAAUGGAAUCAAGUUAAGAUCAAUAUCACCAACCAAAUGGAAUAACAUAGUCUUAUAUUCUAAUAUAAGUUGAUAGGCAUUUUUGUAAAGUGUUUUUUUAAGGAAACGUUUAAAUUAUUCCUUCUGGGCUUACUCCGUACAAAUCUGAACUAAUCAGAGUGAUAAAGUGUCAUGGGCAAAGCUAGUAACUCGGAUAUUGAUUUGAUCUAACUCAAUAGUUUUAAUUUGCUCAAUCGUUAUAUUUGGUUGAAAACACUUAUUGGAUAUAUAUACAAUAUUAAAUUUAAAAUUCAGUUAUUAUUAUUUAAAGUCACCUUUUUAAAAUUCAGAACUUAUAAAAUUGAAAUUGAAACUCUACGAAUAAAUCAUACUAAUUAAUUUCGAACGUGAAAAAUGAUCGCACAGACAAAAAAAGUUAAGAAAAUAUACUCCACAUAAUAAUGAGUUGUCAAAAUUGAAUGCAAUGAAGGUAGAGAUUGAUUCCAAAUUGAUAAAAGCUCGAAUAAUUAUAUGUCAACUGCAAAACUGGCUUUAUACUACUCAUAAAUAUUCUCACACGGUAAUUAGAAUAUUACAGUAGUAGUUUAUUAUAAUAAUAUCGUUUUCAUUGCUUAUUUAUUAUUAGUUCACAUAUUCUACUUUAAUUAAAAUAACCUUCUUUGAAUGAAAUAUAUAUCACUUGAUUCUAGUCAGCAUAUAUUUAUUCCAAAGUAAGUGUAAUUGUUCAAUGAAUACUUGUCUUAAUUUUAUUAUGUGCAUGAAAGCUGUAUUUGAAAAUCAUAAAUAUUUAAAUCAUAUUCUUGUAAAGAGUGAUGAUCAAACCAAAUAUCAGUCGAUGAAAUAACUUCGAAAUGUUGGAAAAACAUAAUGAAUUGUACACGAUAUAUGAUAUAGCAAUUGUUUGAUAAGUAAAUCAAAUAGAUACACAAGUAAUCUCGAUUAAAUUAAUUGUAUGAUAAUAAAAUGAAUUUUGGGGUAAUUAAAAUAUAUAGAAGAUCAAUUAUGCUUUGCCCGACAAUGAGUACGUCAUGGUUAUUGUGGGAUGUUGUGAUGAAAAUUAAAUAAUCAGAUCGACUGAAACAAAAUUCACAAGUGAUUAUAUGUUUUUAUUAUUAGUGGAAAAACAGUAUUAUGGAAGUCAUCCAAGUAGAUGUGUAUCCCUCACUUUACAAUGGACUAAUGUACUCAGAGCUUUAGACAAAGUCCAUGAAGAAUCUUAAGAGAUAUGAUGUCAUGAUUCAGACCGUUGUGAGUGACACACACACUAACAAUAACAAUCUAGUGGGAGAACCAUGUACAAACCCAACAUCGUUCAAAAACCAAGUUUAUCAUAUAAAGAGUAAAACAAUUUAACAACCAAAGGAUUGAGUCCUCAUAAACUCAACUAAAUAGUUUUAAAAUGUUUAAUGCGGAAAAACCUCUAAGAACUAAAAGUCAUCAUAACCAAAAUUCUAAAAUAGUCAAACUGGGGAUGCAACCCCCGAAUCAAUCAAUAAACUAAAGACUAGUGUCUAUCUCCGAAAAGAUGGACAAGAAAAGCAGAAGACCCCAUGACAACUCGAAAGACGUAGCUCACCCUUGUAUUCAGGACAUCUCUCAACUGAGGUCUUGGAUUAGCUGGUAGAAGAUGUGAAGUACUCAACAAAGAAAAGAACAAGUACAACAUCACUACACAAACCACAGUGUACUACUAGGAGCACACAAUCAAUCCAAGAUAGGAAUGUAAACAGCUCACCACAAGUAGUAACACAGAACAAUGCACAUGACAACAAUUAUCAACCACAUAAACUCUCAGUCACAUGUCAUGGAACAACAACGCAUAAGUCAACCAAUGCAUGACAACAUGUCCCACAUGAUCACAAUGCAAAUGAUCAGUCCUCUCAUGGAACCACAAUCACUUACCUGGUUCUCUCACAUAACCCAAACCCAAAUUGUUAGUGUAUGACAUGGUAUCCGAUCGAGUCAUCCAUAGUUAGUAUAUUAGCAUGGUACCCGAGUCAACCAGCAAUCACAAACAACAUGCACAAUCACAUAGAACAAUAAACAAUACCACUUGAAAACCACAGGUGACAAUAACAAGUUCGUGGCAUGUUAGGGCUUGGAGAAAAGAGAAAGGAAGAAAGAAAGGGAGAAAAGCCAAGAUUUCGCCAAGAACACUCAAGCCUUGCGAGUGGAAUUCGUCGGGGGUGAUCCCUACAAGGUAUGUGAGAUCACAUAGUGUUGGGUUAGUUCACCCACACGCCAAACUUGUUUCAAUUCAGCAAAUUUGGAGUUGUUUGAAUGUUAAGAAAGUGAAGUUCUUGAAGAACAUUGUUGAAUUCUUGUUGGUUGAUUGUUGAAUGCCUAAUGUUGAUUUGAUUCGUGGUUCCGGGUUGUUUUAGAGUUAAAUAUAUUGGGUAUUGAGAGUAAUAAUGAUCCUAAUUGUUUGGGGAAAGAACUAUGGAAGUUUAGAGAUGAAAAACGGAGAAGAAAAAUCGUCAAAAACCUGGGGAAGGAGGUGGGGCGUCACGCCAGCCAGCGCACCCCAGAAGCUCCUCUGACGUUUGAGGACUGGCGCCCCGCGCCUCACAGAGCACCAGGGACGCCAGUUCUCUCCAUUCUUUCCCCACCUUUUUGUACAUGUUCCUUAGUGAUGUACCUACGUUUUCUAGUUGAUUCCAACACUCUAAGGUACAUCUAAAUAUCAUGAAAUCAUCCAUAAAUAUGAAAUCAUGAACCUUGAAUCCAUAAUCCAAUUCAAGGAAAGUUAAGAUCAAAGUCAAGAGAAGUAAGAGUCAAGUCAAGAUAAGUUCUUAGAGUUUUUCAAGUCUUUUUCAAAUGUUUUAACUUUGUUUUAAGACUUAAAGUUCAAGUUGAGUAAAGAGUAAAGAGUAAAGUUUGAAGUUCAUUUCUUCAAAAGUAUAUGAGGACUAAGUAUUCCCAAAGAGAUUUAAAAUGUUUUCACAUUUAAAUAAGACGGAAACUGAGAUUUCCAAAGAGGCUUCGGGCUAGUUUUCAGAAAAAGUAAUCGCUUUCUAAAAGAAGCAAGAAGGGAAAUUUUGAUUUCCAAGAUAGCCUUUGAGCUAAAUUUUUGAGCACUAAUCUCAAAUCACAGAAGAAGUAUGUUUUUAAAACAUAAGAGCCAGUAUAUUUUGGGAGUAGUAUUGAGCACCGAAUUGGGGACGAGCAUGAGUUUAGAUAACUCAUGUCACCAUAGAACCAUGUAGCCAUCAUGGGUAGAAAAGGGUCAUACUUUUUAGAUGAAUCCUUUUCGCAAUAGACUAGUGGAUCCAUUAGGUCAUUUCAGGUUCUAUACCUUUGGCCGGGUAUAGGAUGUGCUGGCAGCGUGAGGUAGAUCGUUGUAUCAUCACUAUAGCUCUUAUGUGAUGGUUGUCGGUAAGAGAAACUCCCACAGAAGUUAUUGUAUUUUUAUAUAUAUCAGUUUAUUGUAUGUUACAUACAUUUAAGAGUUAUGUUGUAUCCUUGUAUAUACAUAGAGUUGACAUCAUAUUUUUAAACAGUUUUUCUUUAUAUUGCACUUGUUUAAACUGCUUUAUAUUGAAAUGAGUUCAGUUAAGUAUUCAUGAGUUGAAAAAAGCCAAGGUAAGUGUUUCUUUCAGAUUCUCUUUCCAGCCUAUAUUGUUUUAGCAUUCCAACUCGCAUACUUGUACAUUCAAUGUACUGAUGCCAGUUGUCCUGCAUUUUAUUAUGAUGCAGACACAGGUAACUAAGAUCGGUAUUCCAGCGCACCGUUGAUCUAGUGAGCAGUUCAGAGUCAGUCGGUGAGCCUUUUUGCAUUCCAGAGGACUCAUUUUUAUUGCUUUCUAGUUAGUUCAUUAGGAUGUUGUGGGUUGUCCCAACAUCCAUCUCAGUUGUUUUAGAGGCUUCAUAGACAGUCAGAUGUUAGUCCUUUGAGUCUUUUCAUUAUUAGAUAUUAUUGUUAAGACUUCGGUUGCCACUUUUGGCCAAGUUGAAUGUUUAAUCUUUAAAACAUUCUCAGUUAUUUUAUUUCAGUUCAGUUAAGUUCAUUUAUCAUUAUAGAUAUGAAUAUUGUCUUCCGCUGAGUUAAGUAAGCCAGGCCAAGGGUUCGCUUGGGGCCAACAAUGGUCUUCGAGUGCCAGUUCCGCCCAGGGUGUAGGCUCGGAGAGUGACACGCUUACUCAUAACGACCGGGUUAGGUCGUUACAUAUGAUCGUUUUAAAUUGACCCUUGCAUAAUCUCAUGUAAAAAAAUUAUCGGUAGGAAAACUUUGAACUCGACUUGGUGUUGGAGGUUCAUUAUGACCCUAAUUCACAUUUAAUACACUUCCAAUACUUAGAAAUUAGUUUAACACAGAUACAAAAUUAGAAAUCAUCGGAUUCGAAUAUAUACAUAUAUAUAUAUAUAUAUAUUAUAUAUUCAAAAAAUAGUUUGAAUCGUAGCUUAUAAUUUGUGGGUGAAUCUAGUACUAAUUUAUACUUCUUACACUUGGAUAAGUGAAUUUUAAAAUGCCACUAAGCUCAUAUAUAGACCUUAGUAACAUAUAUUCACAUCUUUUGCAUGACUUUUAAAUAACUAUUGAUAUGGGAAGAACUAGAAGCUAGCCGUCGUCGUGAAGACUUUUUGUUUGGAAAGUCAAUAAUUUUUCUUCAAAUAUGAUUUUCUCGUUUUUUUUUUAAAUAUCAAUUUUGUUUUUAAAGUUUUGAAAAUUUUCAUAUCCAAAUUCAUAUUCAAAAUAUAGUAUUUUAACCCUCAUAGAUCCCUACUACUUAUCCAUAAAAUACGACAAAGGGAAAGGGUGUGAAGUCCCGAAGGAGAGAAUAUGAGAGGAAAAUCAAAAUUUCAUUUAUUAUACGAACAAUAUUAAAUACAAAUACAAAUUUAAUUAAAAGAACACAUGACUCUAAAAUACAUGAAUAAGAUUUUUAACUUAAGUUUCUCCUAUAAUAAAUUAUGAUUUAUUAAUGAUAAUAAUCGAUGUAUUUCUAUCUUAUAAUUUUCUUGUAAUACUGUUUUUUCACUCGACUAAAUUAGUUUUUAGGUCUCUAUCAAAUUUACAGAAUGAAUUUUGAGGCCUCCUUUCCACUUUUUGUUCCAAACUUCAUACAAUCCAAAAUAAAUCUUAUCAGUAUUGUUCCCUUUUCCUUUUGUUAUCGUAAUAGUUUUUGAUAUCAUUUUUUUGCCAUUAAUCUCAGUUGUCAAAUUCACCUUUCUCCAUUGAGUGUUAUCUCCCCAUUUAGCCAUAAGAUAAACUGGUGAAUCUCUCCAACCGAACGCAUCAGUCAUCAAUGACAUUGUAAAUCCAAUCUCGUAUGAUAUUUUCUUCGCUAUAUUAAUAUUGUCGAUGCAACCAGUUACUUCCAACCAAUUUACUUGGAUAAGUUCUGCAUCAUCCUUUCUGUAAUUCAAAUAUAUUUAAUAAAAACGUUAGCGUGCUGAAAUACCAAAUUAUGACAUGUAGUUUUACAAUCUAAUUAAUGUACAGAUUUAAUUUCUAUAUAUAAUUUAGAUUUGGUGCGCCUAUAAUUUGUUCUGAAAGUCUCUUUGCGCUAUUUUAUUGCCUACUUCACAUUUUUGCAUAUAUAUACCAUAGGAGAUUAUUAUAAUUAAAUUUAUCUCAACAUGAUUUAUGCACUCUUAUAUUGUCUUUUCAUUAUGCAAAAUGUACUCCAUAUAGAAAAGUUUAUAUUCAACUUCUUUAUGAAAUCAAAAUAUAUCUCAAAGUUCAGCUAUAAGUUACAAGUACGUAACACUAAAUAAUUGGCAAACAUUUUAAAAAAAAGUUGUAUUCUUACUCGUAGUUAGGUAACUUCCAAUAACUCUUAUCACUUCCCCAAACAAUAUUAAGAGAUUUCGGAUAAACUAUAUAACCCUGCAAGCAACAAAAAUAACACUAUAUUAAAUAAAUAACAUAAACAUGAUGGAUCGAGCAUAAAGGAAAGUAAUAAUGGGAGAAACAAGAAUUGCAAUAUUGGAAGAAAUUAAUGAAUGAAAUUUCCUGUACUUUUCUGUUUUAGAGAAUGUUUGAUUGCCUUGGUAAUGAAGAGAUUUAGAAGCCAUUUAAUUUGCUAUAUAAGUUUGAAUUAUUAAAGAAUGUAGAGAUUUGAGUGCCUUAUAAUAAUUUUCGCUACAAAAAUCAGAUAUAUAUAGAGAUAGAAAUGGAAUCAAAUCACACGUAUUAAGAGACAUUUAGCAUAGAAUAUCAACCAAUCAAAUGGAAUAAAAUAUCAUGUCUUAUAUUCUAAUAUAUAUGUUGGCAUGCAUUUUUCUACAAGUUGUUUUAAGGAAACGUUUUACUCCUUAUGGGAUUUGGCUUACCUUACUCAGUGGAGUAGCCUGGAUACGGGUUCGACUGAACUCAAUAGUUUUAUUUAAGUAGUAUAUUUAUGUUUAAAAUAAUCAUCAAAUAUAUGUAUAGUAAAUUUAAAACUCAAUUAUUAUUAAUGAAAGAUCGUCAUUUUAGAAUUCAGAAUCCAUCAAAUUAAAAUUGUGACUCACUCAAAUUUACCAGUUAUUUUAAACGCGGGAAAUGAUAAAACCGACAAAAACAAAGUUAAAAAUAUACUCCUUACUAUAAUGAGUUGUCAAAAUUGAAUGCAUGAAGGUAGAGAUUGAGGCCAAUUGAAUAAUAUAAUAUACCCACAACAAAUUUGGCACUGUAUAUUAUUCUCACACGUUGAAUAUUUACAGUACUAUAUAUAGUUCACAUAUUCUACUUUUACAACUUUUUUUCAUUUAUUUUUUUAAUCAACUAUCACUUGAUUCUAGUCAGCCCAAAUUACCUCGAAAAUCAUAAAUAUUUGAAUUUUAAAGUAGUAAGAAAUCCAGUUGAUUAAAUUAAAUUAAAUUAAAUUCUUGUAAAGAAUGAUGGUCAAACCAAGUAUAUAUCAAUUGAAAUAAGUUUGGGAAAACAUAAUGAAUUGUAUACUACAUGGUAUAGUAAUUGGCCAAAAAGUAAAGUAAAUAAAUAAAGUAAUCCGAUCAAAUUUAUUGGAGGAUAAUGAAAUAAGGCAUGAUGCGUAAUUGAAAAUUGAAAUAUACAAGAUUAUUCUUAAUUUGCAUGACAAUGUUUCUGCGAGGAAUAUAGUGUUGCAAAUUGAAUCACCAGGUCAACUGAAACAAACUUCAUAAGUGAAUGUACGUUUUUAUCAUUGAUGGAAAAGCAAUAUCAUAGAAGAUGUUCAAGCAAACGUGCAUAUAUCACCCACUCUGACUUCAAAAGACUUGGGAACAUUAUGAAUAAUGGAAAAUCUCAUCACAUACGACAAAGAUAUAAUUGUUAGAUAACUAUUUUACUGAAAUUAUCGCAAGUGACUAAAUCACUAUAAUAAGAGAUAUUUUCGUGUCAAUAAUUACCACAAAAUAUUUUAUAUAUAUAAUAUAUAAAGUCAAAAGAUAAUAUGGACACUUAAAAAAAAAAAAAUUAGAGAGAGCAUUUGAAAAAUCAACGAAGAAUAAAAUGAGGUUAUGAUCAAGAAUAAAUUAAUAUGACGAUAAUUCUGAUAUAUCUAAAAGAUUAGAACUAUCAACAUCUAAGUUUAAGAAUUCAAAUAAAGUUAUAAUUGAUUGUUCGAAUAUUAUAACUAUCUUUCCAGGACAAGGUCACGUGUAAUUGAUGUAUUUUCACUUCUUACGAUGAGUUACAUGAAAUUAGUUAAAUUGAACGCAUGUUAUAUAUAUAAUUAUUUUAUUUUAUUUUAAAAGGGAUAAAACUUGAAAGAAAAUAAAAGAACAAACGAAAUUACGUAAUUUUCAACUUUAAGCCAUGAUAGGUGUUUUUCAAUUUAUUAUAUAUACAAGUAUAAAAGAAGCAUAUGACUGGGAAUUACAGUUCAUUCAUGAUGCGAGCAAUACGUACAAAUACAAAACACAAAUUUAUUUAAGAAAACACACUUCUAAAAUACAUGAACAAAAAUAUAUAAGAUCUUUAACUUGAGCUUUUCCUUCUUUUAAAUUUUGAUUUAGGGAAUAACAACGAUCAACGUAUUUUUAUUUUACAACCUUUUUGUAGUAUUGCUAGCUUUUUCACUCAGUAAAUUAGUUUCUAGAUCUCUGUCAAGUUUAUAGAAUGAAUUUUGAGACCUCCUUUCCACUUUUUGUUCCAAACUUCAUACAAUCCAAAAUAAAUCUUAUCAACAUUGUUCCCCUUCCCUUUUGUUAUCAUAAUAGUUUUUGAUAUCAUCUUUUUGCCAUUAAUCUCAGUUGUCAAAUUCACCUUUGUCCAUUGAGUAUUAUCUCCCCAUUUAGCCAUAAGAUAAACGGGUGAAUCGCUCCAACCAAAUGCAUCAGUCAUCAGUGACACUGUAAAUCCAACGUCGUAUGACGUUUUCUUCGCUAUAUUAAUAUUGUCAAUGCAGCCAGUUACCUCCAACCAAUUUACUUGUAUAAGUUCUGCACCAUCUUUUCUGUAAUUCAAAUAUAUUUAUUGACAAUGUCAGCCAAUUUACAAUUGUAAGGUAGUAUAUAUAUAGUAAAUUUCUAUAACUUAGAUUUGGUACACCAAUUAAUUCUUACUCGUAUUUGGGUAACUUCCAAAAGCGUUGAUCAGUUCCCCAAACAAUAUUAAGAGCUUUCGGAUAAAUUAUAUAACCCUGCAAACAACAAAAUAAACGCUUUAAAAAAAAACAUAAACUCGAGCAUAACUAAGUAUAAUGGGAGAAACAAGAAUUGCUAUAUAUAGAUAUUGGAAGAAAUUAAUGCAUGAAAUUUGCUGCACCUUUUCUGUUUUAGAGAAAGUGUGAUUGCCUUGAUAGUGAAGAGAUUUUGAAGCCAUUUAAUAUUUGCUAUAUAAGUUAAAUUAUAAAGAAUGUGGAGAUUUGAGUGCCUUAUAAUAUUUUGGGGUACAAAAAUCAGAUAUAUAUAGAGAUAGAAAAAUUUUCAUGCAUGCAUGCAAUAACCUAAAGAAGGAAAUGGAAUCAAGUCAUGACACGUAAGACCUUACGCAUUAAAGCUAAAGAAUGUCCACAAACGGAUUUUCAAGAAGAUAGAAUAUAUGCACAUGCAUCAUGUCCCUAGGAUGAUUGGACAAGGAAAAAAAUAUACUCCAAAGUCGACAUCUUAACUAUAAUUAGUUGUCAAAAGUUGAAUGCAUGAAGAUAGAGAUUGAUGCCAAAUUGAUAAAUCUCGAAUAAAUACUCUCAUGAUGCGGUAAGAAUAUUAGAGUACUAUAUUAUAUCGUUUUCAUUGCUAAAAUAUUACUCCCUCCGUCCCAUUUUAUAUGUCACCUUUUUACUUUGUACUUGCAUUAAGAAAUGAUGUAACUUUACCCUUCUACCCUUAUUUAAUGUUUUCUUAAGUCAACUUUAUAAUAAAUGAUGAGUACAUUUUUAACAUUAAUUAACUACUCUAUCAAGGGUAUAAUAGGUAAGAUAUGGUAAUUUAUGAUAAUUUUUAUAAAAUAACAAGUAUUGUGGUCUAGUUAUUUAUAGAAAGAGAUACAUAUAAAAUGAGACGGAGGGAGUAGUAAUUAAUUGGUUCAUAUAUUUCACUUUUAAAACUUCUUUUCAUUCCCCUUUUUAUCAACUGUCACAAAGUUUUAAAGGAAGGGCCUAAGUUUGACCAAAAAGGGUCAAAAUUCCUCCUAUUAAAUUAGUUGCAUUAAAGUAAUGUUUAAAUAACGCAAAAAAUGAAUGUGGAUUUCCUUUUAUAUUCCAAAGCAAAGCAAGUAUAUAUGAUUGUUCAAUGAAUACAAGAACAGUGGAGUAGUCUAGCUAGUUUUGUCUCAAUUUCAUUAUGUCAAUGCAAUAUUUAAAAAUAUAAAAUAUUUGAAUUUUAAAGUCGCAAGAAUUUUAAUUAAUUCAUAUUAUAUAUUUUUGUAAAUAUUAAUGGUCAAAUUAAGUCUCAAUUUUUGUAUAUAUAAUAUUACUUGACCAAUAAGUAAAUUAAGUCGAUAAACAAAUAGUUUUGACUAAAUUCACUAGAUGACAAUGAAAUGGAUUUUAGGGUAUUUAAAACAUCUAAGACGAUUAUGGUUUGCAUAACAAUGAGUAUUUCGUAGUUAUUAAGGGGUGUAGUGAUGCAAAUUGAACCACUAAAUCAAGUGUCUAGUGUGUAAUUUGUUCUGCCAUAUAUAUUUGAAUUCACUAAAAUUCUGAAAUUAACGAGGGGUAAAUUACUUAGAGGACACACAAGAAAAUUAUAAUCCUUUAAUUAUAUAUUUUUUUCUUCAAUUUUUUCUUAAAUAUUUUAAAUUAUUGAUUACGUCAAUUGACAAUAUUUUUGGUAUAAUUUUCAUAAUUAACAAUAUUGUAUUCAUAAUUAAUAUCAUUGUAUUCAAAGUUGCUAAAGUCUUUAACAACAUUAAGUAUUGGUUAUAAAUACACAUAUUAUAUUAUUGCUACUAAUAAUAUAAAGAAAAUUAUACUAUUAGCGUAAAAUUAUUUAUUUGUUGCGAUGAGUAUUUUAAACUUUUUCCAGUGAAACUAGUUAAAUAGAAUAUAUGUAAUAUAGUUAUUAGGAGGGGGGAAAAGAGGAAAAACUUGAAACAAAUAAAAGAACAAACGUAAAUCAACUUAAUUAAAGUUAUAAUUGAGUUCAACAUACGAGUUUCAUUCAUGAUUGGACAAUAAUUGACUAAUUAUUUUUGUCUUACAAUUUUCUUGUAGUACAGCUAAAUCAAUAUCUAGCUAAAUCUCUGUCAAGUUUACAGAAUGAAUUUUGAGACCUCCUUUCCACUUUUUGUUCCAAACUUCAUACAACCCAAAAUAAAUCUUAUCGAUAUUGUUUCCCUUUUCCUUUUGUUAUCGUAAUAGUUUCUACAACUUAGAUUUUGUACACCAAUUAAUUCGUACUCGUAUUUGGGUAACUUCCAAAAGCGUCUAUCGUUUUCCCAAACAAUAUUAAGAGCUUUUGGAUAAACUAUAUAACCCUGCAAGCAAUGAAAAUAACACUAUCAAAUUUUUUAAAAAGAGAAACAUAAAGUCGAACAUAAGUAUAAUGCCAGAAGGAAAGUAAUACGUAAAAGGCCAAAAGGAAUAAUGUCACAUGAUAGAUGACCUAAGGCCAUAGCUAAGACCUAAGUUAUCGUUAAACAAAAAUGCAUGUCUGAAACUUUAAUCAUGUUGCGUAUCUGGUAAAUAGCACUGUCCAAAUAAGAUAUUUCGUGAAAAUUUUAUAUUUUUUUAAGGAAAUAUUUUAGUUGUUCAUUAUUGGAUUACUCAAUGCAAAUAUGAACUAAUUAGAGUCUAUGGGCGGAGCUAGUAGCCAGUUGGAUACGAGUUCAACCGAAAUCAAUAGCUUUUACUCUAAAUUUCAAAUAAUAUGUACUAAAAAAAACUCAUUAAUCAAAUAGCUUUUACUCAUUAAUAUACUAUAAUUAAUCAAAAAUUGAAUGCGUAAAACUAGAAUCGUCCUUUGUUUUUGUAAUUGAUUCUAGUUACCUCGAGUUAGGGGUGUCAUGGCCGGAUUGGUUCGGGUUUUUCAAAUAUCAAAUCAAAUCAUUUGUGUCGAAUUUUUAAAUUUAUAAACCAAACCAAACCAAUAAAACUCGGGUUUUUCAACCUCGGAUUUUUUUGGGGGUUUUCGGUUUUUCGGUUUUUGGGGUUUUUUCGAUAAAGUAUUCAUACAAACAUAUAAUUUACUUGUACUUCAAAUAUUUCUUUACUCCUACCAAAAUACAACUAUCUAAGGCGUUUCUUAAAAAGAAACACAAAAUAUGAUAUGAUUAAUGACACUAAAAUAUCCAACAAAAAUAAUAAUAAUGAAAUCACGUAAAACAAAUAUUGCAAAUUAACAAGUCAUAAGUAAAAUGAUCAUAAUUUAAAAGUACUAAAUCAUGCUAAAACAAGUUCAAUAAGUAUUAGUUACAUGACUAAAUAUUAAAGGAAAUUAAAAUUAGAUUAUGUAUUUUAAUUGUCUAAACCAAUGACAAAACUAAAGAACAAAUAUUCAAUAUUAUUGUCAUUUUUAGUGUUUAAUUGAUUUCCUUUUUGCAUUAGUAUUAAUUUAAUUUUGAUUUAAGCUUUAUUAUAAUUACCAACAUAUGUGGACUAUAAUCUUUAUUGGNNNNNNNNNNNNNNNNNNNNNNNNNNNNNNNNNNNNNNNNNNNNNNNNNNNNNNNNNNNNNNNNNNNNNNNNNNNNNNNNNNNNNNNNNNNNNNNNNNNNNNNNNNNNNNNNNNNNNNNNNNNNNNNNNNNNNNNNNNNNNNNNNNNNNNNNNNNNNNNNNNNNNNNNNNNNNNNNNNNNNNUUAUAUAUAUAAUGUCGGGUUGGUUUGGUCUCGGGUUGUUUUUUUUUAGUUAAAACCAAACCAACCCAAAUAUAGUCGGGGGGUUUUUUCCAAUACCAAACCAAGUCAAACCAAACCACUAGUCGGGUUUUUUUUUCGGUUUGACUCGAUUUGCGGUGUGAUUCGAUUUUCAGUUCGAUUUUGUACACCCCUACCUCGAGUUAAUUAAUAUGUAGUCCAAAUUUGACUUUUCUACUUAAUCCUAUACGUAAUGGUUUUUUUUAAAAUUCACUUUUUUGCUUUAACUAUGUUUACUUAUUUAUAAAUAAUCCGACUUGGUCACAGGAGGCAAAUAAUCAAUUUUAUAACUAAGCCGACAGAGAGCAUAAUAUAGCGAAGGGCCUAAGUUAAAUAUGACCAAAUUAAAGGGCCAAAAUUCCUCUUAUUAAAUUAGUUGCAUUAAAGGUAAUGUUUUUUUAAUAAUGAAAAAAAAAAGAAUAUGGAGUUGCUUUACAAUAUUAGAUAUUGUUCAAUGAACACAAGAACAAUAUUUAGAUUAGUGGUUUAAAGAUGAUAAUUCUAGAGAACACACUGAUGAUUAAUAAAAACGUGUUCAUGAAAGCAAAAGUUGAUGCACUUUGUUAUUUGACAUAGAACACCAAAUGCUUCAUGAUGCCUUCAUAUUUACUGUUAGUUCUUAUAAUAUUAUUCAUAUCAUUGCUACUUCAAUUUAUUAAUCAUCUGUGUUUUUUGUGCUUGGAUUAUAUAUUUAUUGUUUUCUUUUCUGAAUGUUAUGUAAUGUUUUUCUUAUCAAUCAACAUAUCUACUUUAUUUCCUUUUAAAAAAAAAAACUACUUUAAAAUAUUUUAUUUGAGCCAAGAGAGUCUAUCAAACAUAAAUUAAGAUUUAAAAUCAAAUAAAUUAUGUAAAGAACUAAAAUAAAAAUGAUAAAUUUGGACGCUAGAAGGAGGGCUUGAACCUCCGACCUUGUGGUUAACAGCCACACGCUCUAACCAACUGAUCUAUUCCAGCUUGUUUGAUAGGGAGUUGUUUUGCUCAUUAGAAUAACCAAUAUCUGUCCCAAUUUAUGUUGACUAUGCACACAGUUUUAAGAAUAAUAGGAAAUCUAUUCGAACUCGAGGUCUCAGGUCUCAGGUCUCAGGUCUCAGAUAAGUCAUUUAUAUUUGUAUAAUUAUAAAUAAAUGAUAAAUGAGGGAGUAUAGCAUUUCCAUUUGACAUAACCAAGCAAAUCUAUUAAUCUAUUAAUGAGUACUAUUACAAACUGCAAUAUCUGUAAACAUAGUUCCUAUAGUAUCUGCCCAAAUUGCAUAUGCUGGCUGCUGCAAUCACUGAAAAAAAUACCAAAAAUCUUGGCCUAUUAAAAACUUAACGAUGUACCCUUUAGCCAGCUGAUUCGUCACUCUAUUUUGCUCCCUAAAUAUGAGUAAAUGCUGGAAACCCAUAUUUUUCUUAUAUACACAUAGGGUGUGCUUAGGAAACCAUAUUCUAAUAUCGUUAUAUUUGGUUGGUCAAAAUAUUAAAAAUAAGAAUAAUUACUUCCCUAGUGACAUUCACAUUCACAUUGGUAGUCUGCUCCCUACACUCUUAACACAUGACCCCAUCCCUUAUAUCCUACAUCCUCACCACACCAUCCUUCAUAGUAUUUGAAUAUACUGGUGUACAAAUAUUUUUUGUCUACUUACCAAACACUUAAAACUAAGUAAGAAAACCAGGUACUACUUGUUAUGUCACAUAAAAUGGGUAUAAAUCUAUGACUAUACCUCGAGAAUGUACAAUCUUGCAGAAACGAAGGGAAUUUUUUGAGAUAUACGAAAUACAUGUGUUAAUAUGUUAGCGCUUGUACAUGUUAGACACAUGAUAAAUGGAGUCCUGAUACUAUAGAUAGAUAAUGAAGAACGCUUUCCAUAAACUGGCAAAGAGCAUAAACGAGCUCGAAAUGUACUGCUCAUUGUGGAGGUUAUCUCCUCAUAUUGCCAAUUUAUACCUCUAGUUCUUGAUCGAUUGAUGCAGCUUCCAGGUCUUCAAGACUGACUGGUUGGUGCAGCUGCAUUGAUGAAACACAAGUUUAAUAUAGGCUCAACAGAAGACUACAUCGCUAGGUACUCAAAGCAGCAUAAAUAAGCAUGUAACAAUGAUAAAAAGUCCAUAUAAAUGCAUCCAGACCAUUUUAAUUGCAGCUCCUACAUCGACUUCCUCUAUAUCCUCAUUUUCCAACAUUAGCGUUCAUAAGCAUUUAUCAGAGGAAAGACAACUAAAGAGAACCAAAAUUAGCCAAACAUUUGGUCGCAGAUUUGAGACUACUGGUGCUUAUUUGAUACUGUAACAACUCAAGUUACCAACACAACAAUGAUAUGUAUUAUAAUCGCUAAAGAACACAAAAUACAAUUGAGAAAUGGAAACAACAAGCUAAUAACAACUAACGUCCUUAAAUCGAAACUGAGAAGGUUAACCGAAGGGGAAGAUGAUCAGAAAAUAUAGAGAUAGAUAGAAGGGGAUGAGAAGCUCGACUAAGAAUGGAGAUGAGAGAAUCAGACUCUUUACUCAACAAUUUGUAUAAUCCUUGAAUCACAUCCCACUACCCUUUUUGAUGGAACCGCUCCCAUGCCCAUUUCUCAACCCGAAUCCAAAAUUAACCUGACCCUAUUGCUUGUUCUAGGCCCAAUAGCUCUUAUCAGCCCAAUAACUACUUUUGCGACCCUGGUAUCCACAUUGGCCUGGACUUGGUUCAUACAAGAUACUCCUCCCAACAAAACCAAGUAAGGUAGAUUAAAAAAGUAGUCAAACUUUGGAGAGGUAAAAUAGCUGACUCGAUGAUGCAUGUUUGGACAUGAAAGCCACAAUCUGAAAAACAUUUUAGGCAGCCAGGGUGUCAUGUCAAAGCAGGUACCAUAGUCAGUAGAAACUGUUGUUUGUCUAAGGAGCAGCUUUCAUAUGAACACUUGCUUUAGCAACUUAACAGAAAAUCAAACAGAUAAAUAGCAGGAAAGGCAUCUCCAGAUAACUAGGAUCAAGAAGAAACAUACUGCUGUUGCAACAGAAAAUAGGUGGAAGGCACGCAAGGAAGCAUCAUUUUCUGAGGGAAGAGAAUCAUGGUUCCACAAUGUUAUGUUUUGGAACUUUGCCUUCAUCUCCCAGCAACUUGAAUCUUCCUCGGACCUUUUUCUUUUCUCAACAGGCAUUUUCUUUCCCAAGACAAACCCUGAAGAAGCAAGAAAAUGGUUUCAAAUAACACAAAGUUAAGUAGAUUAAGAAGUCCCAAUAUAAAUUUGAACUACAAUAAUCGUAAGACUUUAGGUGGCAGAUAAGUGAUGUAAGUAAAUUUACAAAAAACAGAAAAAGACAAUACAACUGGAAACAGCAAUUCAUGCGAUGAUACAUAAUUAGAAUUACGUAUCUCAGAAUUGAGCUAUCAAAAUCGGGAUGGAGAGACUAGCACUUCCAGUCCAAUGCAAAAGCUGUAAGACAAUAGACUAUCAUUCCAAAAACAUUUAUCUUUAUUCGUUUGGACAUUUUCCUUCCAGACAAUUGUUCCAAGAUUGACACAAGUGUCUAAUGAAACCAAAAGCUUAACCAAAAUUUCUGUUAAAUCAUCAAAAGUUGGUAGCCAAACUACAAUCCAUGUAAACUAGCUAGGAUAAACUCUUGAAAGAUGAACAAGCAAACAGUUCAUCAGUCUAGUUGUUCCCCUUCGCCUUGCCCCUCCCUCAACCCCACACGCCAAAAGAAAAAUUAGAAAAUCACGUGAUUAUAAUCCUAGUUGCAGGUGUGAGAAUUCAAUCACAUGUCAUUUAUACAGGAUUUCACUGUAAUUACAUGGUAUUAGGCUCUGCCACCUCAACAACUAGCUUUUGGCAUGUGAUUCUCAUAAAGUUCAUAACAAUCGGUGUUUGAGCCAUCCAGUUAUGAAGCCUCCAAAAUCAAUCAUGCUGGAUGGGAAAUAAUAUCAACAUAACAGUGUUUCCUCAGUCCUACAGCAUAUAAAGCACAGUUGUAUGUGCAGCCACUCACCAAGAGCACAAUGUAGUCAUUGAUGGUUAUUAUCCAAGCAGCAAGUAUUGAGACUUUGAUCCAUCACUUGGGAUCCGAGUAUUUAGCUUUGAAUUAUGGUCCCCUUUGCUUAAUUUCUGACCAUACUGUUUGCACAAUAUUAUUUUACUCCCUCCAUUUCAAUUUAUUUAUCCUACUUUCCUUUUGUGCUGUACUAGGUUACCUAUUACCCUUACCAAUAUCCCCUUUCUAUUCAUUAUGUAUAUAUAAAUAGAGAUGGACCAGCGGCUUAUUGAGCCUUUUAUCACUUCGUACCACUUGUUUCCUCUUCUUCAGAUGUCUCGCUUCCUUCUUCUACAACAGAUAUUAUACCUACUCAAUCAAAAUUUGUUGUUUUGUCAGGAUCGUCUACUUCAUCCUUUUCAAUUCCUCCUUUGCCUUCUUUUUCUCAUUCUCUUCCUCUCCACACUGUUGGGCCAAGCAUUCUGCUAGGUUCUUCUAUAGGCCAGAUUGGCCUACCUUCGCUCCCACCUUGCAGUGGAACAAUAGAACCAACAGUUCCAUCUCCCUUCCACUCUGCCGCGGCUUUCACCAUACCUAGUAUCACUAAUUUGGUGACUAUCAAACUUAAUUCUGUUGAAGAUUAUCUCACUUGACGUAGUCAAGAAACUUAUUUACAUUCUCAAAUUUCGUGUCAAGUCAAAACCAAACAAACAAAUUAAAACAGAGGAAGUAAUAGACAAGCCCAUCCAACACCAUUAUUAAAGGAAAAUAAAUUAGUUUACCAGAAUAGCCAUGAGGAAUUACAACAGUAGUACCCUGAAGCUUCCUUCCUCUAAAAUGAGCUUCCUCCACACUUAACCCAUCAACAAUUACACCUUCAUUUCAUUCACAAAUUCAAACAGUGAUUAAAUAAAUAAAAGCAAAGUUCUUUCAAAAACUACGUUUUUAAUACCCAAAACCAAAAAUUCAAGUAGAGUAUGAACUUGACUUGCAUAAAUAGAAUAAUUAUACCGGUGGAUUUGGGUUUGAAGUACUGUGAAACAUCAGAUGGACCAUUGAACUUGAUACAGCACGGCAGCUGGUGCACUUUUCCGGUGAGUUCCACCACUUUCUCCGGCGAAAGAUUGCCGGUUAGAUCAAUUGUGCCUGAAAUUCCGUUGUUGCUUCUCGCCAUUGCUCGGUUGAACUGGUAACAAGUAUCAAAAGAACCCUAAAGGGUGUACCAAAGCUUAAGCCUUUAUUCAGAGUUGUUCCUGUGUUCAUAAUAUGGCAAAUUUGGAAAAGAAGGAACAAAAUUACACAUGGAGGGAAAAUGUCUAAAUUCUCUAUGAUUGCUGAAAUUAACAGGAAUCUACAUCUGUUGGCAGCAUACAGUUAUCCCUGGCUAGAUAAAAUUCCUGUGUUUUGGCCGUUAAUUGUAAAAGCAUUUGAUAAUUACAUUCCUCUAAUCUCUAGCAAAAUUGUUAAUUGGAAGCUCCCCGAGGAAGGUAAAUUUAAAUGCAACAGUGAUAGUGCUUACAAGGAUACUAUGGACUUCAUUGUCUCUGCAUUUUGUAUUAUUUCAUGUAUGCAUAAGUGAACAAGGUAUUGGUAGGAUCUGCACUUGAGGCAGAAGUGAAAGCUUUGGGUAGAAUAUUGCAUGACCAAUAAUUUGCUUGCAGAUUCACUUAUUGGUAAGAAGAUCAUAGAUGGGAUUUGGGAAAUUCCUUGGGCUAUUGUAGUUGAUAUAAGGAGAAUCCAAGGGAUGGUGAGAGAGCAUACAGUGGAGGUGUUACACAGAGAAGGGAAUAUGUUAGCUGAUUUUUUGACUGAACCAUAUCUUCAUUGCAGGUAUUAACAACAAACAAUUUCAUACUGUUACCACAGAGGGCCAAGGCGAUUAUCCAAACAUGAGAGUUACAAGGUGUCAAAAUAGAUUUCAAAGUCAUGACACAAUACACUAUACAAGCUUCACUGAAAACACAGGUAGCGCAAACGAAGUCUAUGAAGAACAAAGCAUUUCUGCUGAAGCAAUUCUCUUGAAAUGUAGGCUUACCUGAUGCUCUAGAUCCUUAUGCAGUGCUUUUCUGAGCUCGAGGAUAAAGAAACAAAGGGUGAGGAGGGGACUUUUCAAGCUUUAAAUGCUUCCAUUCAGCGACUUUUGAGUUGAAGAAGUGAGUCGCUCAAAUUCAAAAAUCUGUGUUUGUGUUGAAGAUAGAGAUCGGAAGUGAGGUUGCUGCUAGGGUGAUGGUCUGAUGGAUGAACACCGAUUCGUCACUUCCCUUUUUUUUUUUCUGGAUUUCUUUUGUCUACAUGGGCUUCGGUGGGGCACUUUUGGACCCAACCACUCUAUAAUUAUUCGAUUAAGCAAAUUUAUAGUACUUAAUUACUCAUCAUGGGCUCAUGGCUAUAGUUUGAUAUAAUUAUCAUUCGCGACUAACAUUAAUCAUUAAUUACUUGAAUAAGUCCCUUUUAAUUAAUGUUUACUAUUUUUAAACAUAUUUUUUAAUUAUUACCAUUUAUAGCAAUAUAUAAUAAUAUUAUGUAUACUUAUUUUAUUAGAUCUAUUAUUUUCUCUUGCGCUAUUUCUCCGUUUGUUUUUUCUAUCUCUCGCUAUUUUUUUCUUUUUCUCCCUGGCCCUGCAGCCUCUCUGCACCCCCCCUCUCUCUAUGUUUUUUUUCUUUCUUUUUCUCCCUGUACCUCCUCUAUCUAUGAUUUUUCAAUAUUAUAAAAAAAAAGUUAGGCUUUUAUCAAAGGCAAAAGAACUAUAGAAAAGUUAGGGAAAUUUUCAAAAAUCGAAGAAUUGGGGCUGCUUAGUUUAUAGAAGAAGUCGAUUAGUUUUUUAUUUGUUGCUUUGGCAUUGUUGACGAUUUUCAUUCUAAUAAAGGUUAUAUAAAUAAUUGUAUUCAUACCUGAUGAAAACUUGAAGAUUUGAAUAUUUGUAUAUAUGAAGAUAUGAAGAUAUGAAUGUUUGAAGAUAUGAAAGUUUGAAUAAAUGAAGAUAUGAUGUCAUAUUUGUGCCCCAUACUUCCUCAUAUCUAAAGGCGAAUUCACAUGAGAAAGUUAGAUUUAAAGAUAUGAUGUCAUCUUUGUAACAAAUAAAGAGACAUAAUAAACUGCAAAAUGAAUUAAACUUGAAUCAAAUAUGUAUUACACACAUAUUAAAGUUGAAUUAAAAGAGAAUUAAACAUGAAUACAAAAUGUAGCAAACGAAAGAACAUUUUAUGAUCAGUAAACUGAAUAAAAUUUGUAUCAAUAAUGAUUUAAACAAGUAAUCCAAUCAUAACAAAUCAACCAAUAAACUGCAAAAUGAAUUAAACUUGUAUUAGAAGUGUAUUACACAAAUAUUAAAGUUGAAUUAGAAAAGAAAAUUAAACAUGAAUAAAAAACGCAACUAAUAAAAGACCAGACAUUGAUCUAUAGAGUAAAUUAAACUUGUAUCAAUAAUGAAUUAAACAAGUAAUUCAAUAGUAACAAAUCAAUCAAUAAACUGCAAAAUGAAUUAAAUUUGCAUUAAAAGUGUAUUACACAAUAUUAAAGUUGAAUUAGAAGAGAGAAUUAAGAAUUAAUGAAAAAUGUUACUAACGAAAGACAAGAGAAUGAUCUAUAGACUGAAUUCAACUUGUAUUAUUUAUGAAUAAAAUGUAUUAUAUGUGUCUUAUAAAUUAUUUUGAUUGUAUCACUAAGAACAUGAAUGAUGUUUGCAAUAUGUAUUAUAAAUGUAAUAUAAGUAUGUUACCUAAAUCAUUUGGUUGGUAUCAAUAAGAAGAGAGUGAAGUUUGCAAAUUAUAAAUGUAUUGUUCACGAUAAAACUUAUAUUAUAUGUGUCUUGUAAAUUAUUUUGAUUUGUAUCACUAAGAAAAUGAGUAACGGUUGCAAUAUGUACUAAAAAUGUAUUGUGCAUGUCUUAAAAAUGUAUUAUUAAUGUGCUACCUAAAUUAUUAUUGUUGGUAUCACUAAGAAAGAAGUGAAGUGUGCAAUAUGUAUUAAAAAUGUAUAAUUCAUGAAUAAAACAUGUAUUACAUGUGUCUUAUAAAUUAUUUUGAUUGACUAAGAAAAAGAGCAUUGUUUGCAAUAUGUAUUACAAAUGUAUUGUGUCUAUGUUAUANNNNNNNNNNNNNNNNNNNNNNNNNNNNNNNNNNNNNNNNNNNNNNNNNNNNNNNNNNNNNNNNNNNNNNNNNNNNNNNNNNNNNNNNNNNNNNNNNNNNNNNNNNNNNNNNNNNNNNNNNNNNNNNNNNNNNNNNNNNNNNNNNNNNNNNNNNNNNNNNNNNNNNNNNNNNNNNNNUUAUGAAACAUAUAUAAUACAACUUUAAUACAAUUGAGAUACAGUUCCGUAAACUUCAUAUUUUUCGAGCUUCAAUCUAAUAUUUCUCCUAAAAUCAAUUCUAAACUUAACCAAACCCUGUUAAAAUUGAGAAAUAAACUCCAAACGAUAUUUUCAAUUAUUUGUAGGAACAACCUAUCUAAACUAAUCACAAAUUCAUAAAACUUAAAUAAUGAAUUCAAAAUUUGAAGUUUUAUAAUGACCAUCAAUGGUGAACUCUUGAUGCUGUGAUUUUAGAGAUUUGAAAUUCCUGCUUGAGCACAUGAUUCUUAUCGUAUUUUUGGGUGAAAUUGCGAUAUAUGGGCAAAAACUGAUUUGAAGAUAUUUCUUUAAAUGAAAAUUUCAAAGAAAAAGAAGAAGAGAAGGAAGAGAAAAAAUGGCAGAGAAAGAGGGAAAGAAGCGAGAUAGAAAGGCUUUCACUGUACCAUUUUUUAGUUCCAAAUAAUUGCUAUAUCAAGUUAAAAAUAUUAUAUUGCCAUAGAUGGUAAAUAUUUUCUUAUUAUUGCAUAUUUAUGUGAUUUACCCAUAAUUAUAUGGGCUGACUUCGAGUUUGUAUAAUUAGUCACGUUUGUAUAUGUAUAAUUCGCAACUAACAAUUCUUUGUAUGAUUUGUAUUUGCAUACGAUGGUUUGUAUUUGUAUAUGACAAUGAUUUCCUUUGGUUUUUCAGUUUUGUCAUCAUAUACAUUCAAUCUUUUUGUGUAUAACUUUUUAAAGUUUGUAUAAACGUGUAGCUUUCGAAUUUUUAUAUAAUAUAAUUUAUAUAAUGUAAUUUGUAUAAUAUAUUAUGUAUAACUGUUUAAAGUUCAUAUGUUAUGUUUGCUAUAACUUAUUUUAGAAUAUAAAUGUCAAAUCUCUUUUUCUUUCUUAAACCUUAUGCCAUAGCAAACUAAGUCAUAUAUUUAGAUGGAAGAAAUAUUGUUUAUAGCCCACUUCAAUUAGAAACAGAAAAGCUUGAAAAAAUUGGAAUGUUAGGGUGUGUUUUGUACAAUAGAAAAUGUUAUAUUACACAUAAGUGAUUUUCUUAGUUGUUUUUUUUUUUUUCGUUUGGUAAGCAGAAAUAUUAUCCCAAGAGCGGUGGUGAAGCUAUGCUAUAUAUACUAGACAUUGAAUCUCUGUAACAUUUUUUGUGCUUUAUUUUUUUCUAUUUUGAGUUUCGUUUGUGAAAAUCUCACCUCUUGUCCAAAAGUAUCUUAUAUAUAAUCUAAACAAAUAUGAAAAAGUAAUAGAGUGUUGUAAAAGGAACUAGCUAAUUCUUCAUAACAGAAUCUUGCAGCAAAUAACCCUUUAAUGCCUACUACUCCAUAAUUAAUUGAUAACAUUUGCUACUAUUUGGAUACAACAGAACCUAACACAUGUACUUGCAACAGAUACAACUUCUAAAUGCAAUAAUUCACUUGAAGUAACUAGACAGUAUUGUUUAACUCUCAGGAUCAGAUAAAUACACAGGGCUAUCCAAAUCACCCAUUUCUGCUGAGGCAAAUGACUCAGAACUAUCUGCACUUGACAGGGAAGAAGGCGAUCCAUCAGAGUCCGACAUCCCCUCAUCAUGCAUAAUGAUGUGUUCAUCAUCAAUCUCAGAUGUAUCUGAUCCAGAACCACCUAGCAGAAGCUUGUUUAUGGCUCCUUUUGCGGUUUCAGUGAACCAUUCGUCCUCGGGUAGGGCACUGAAAAGAAAGACAUUUUCAUUAAUGAGGCUCACACAUAAAGAAGAUGAGAAGUAGUGAGCUAGGUGAAUGAGGUAUUUAUACCUUUGUGGAUCUAUGCCCCUGGCAGAAAAAGUCCUGACUGCACGUGCAAUUAUGUCUGAUGAUAUUUGAUGCACGUGCCUUGAUGGAUAGCCCGCAAAUCGUGCAAUUUCAACAGUGAAGUGCAUGUCAAGAAUUAACUGUCAAACAAAAAGUUGAUAUCAAGAUACAAAGAGGGUUUUAUCAUAACUCAAAUAUAGAACAUCAAAAUAUUUGCUUAACAAGAGAGCAAUUCACGUUGAAUAUCGCAAAUGAAUGUUAGUAUGACUUAGUCCGGUCAAAGACUAAGGUAUCUUUUUGGAAUUUCACCAAGUUAACGGCUAAUGAGAGAAUACCUUAAGCUCUUAAACUCUAAAACCAAUUAACAUAUUAUGCCGAUUGGGCUGAGGAAGUAAUAAGGGCAUGGACAAGAUACCUUCAUUUUCUUUCUUUUGACAAGGAACAAGAUACCCUUAUUUUCAAACACCCAGAUACUCGGAGAGUUACUUUUAGAAAGAGGUAGCACACAAAUGGCCGUCCUAUGCCCAACGAUGUAUCCUUUUAAAUUGUCCAUCCAGGAAUUUCUAACAGUUUUGAACUUUAAUCUGCAAUAGAGCCAUACAAUAUAUUCUGUUGCAGAGUUCAAAUUAAACAAAGCUAUAACAGCUCCUACACACUAUCCCAAAUUGAAUGAAAAUCCGGGUAGCAUGCCAACAGGUGAUAAGGUGAAAAAGUAGAAUGAAAUUGUGAUAAUACUCUAUUAUCUUCAGGUAGUACAACUAAAGACAGGGAAGUAGAUAUAACAAAAUACCUGCUGCAAACCCAGCGGCUGCAGAGGAGCUGACUCAUCCUCUAGAACACUCCAAAAUUCUUGUUCAUCAGACAACCACAUUACCACAGUCUCUGUCAGUCUGGCAAGCAAAACCUUCUGUAUCUUCUCUCUUCCUAAAAGAACAUCUCCUGCCACAGUUGCUAAUUGCUGCAGCUUACCAAAUAAUGCCUACAGGUUUGAAGAUUUAUCACCUUUUAGUUACAUGAAAGUGUUGGAAACAUAAGCAUUUUAUAAGGUUCUAUUUAGCAGAAACUGUUGAAAGCAUUUCGCAAGAAAAUACCGAAUAUUAGCACUUGGAUAGUCAGAUAAGAAUUGACAAACAGUUGUAAACCACCAUCAGAGAGACAAUGUAAAACUAUGCUUCCGCUGCUUGAACUUUAAAAAAAGUCAAACGAGCAUCUGCUGAAUAUUAUGAUGAAUGAUUGUCUAAUUUAUUUAUUUAAAAAAAAAAGAAUACUUAAGGAGGCAUUUGGCCAUGAAAUUCUUUUCACUUUUUCCAGAGUUCAACUCUGGAAAACACGUUUGGCCAUAAAACUCAGGAAGAAGUUGAAAAAGAACAAAAAGGUUUUCUCACUGCAAAUUACUCACAGAAAGUCAAAAACAACUCCACUUUGUAUUCACGGCCAAACACAACUGCCAAUUUUCAAAUAUCAUUUUUCACUUUAAAACAAAACUACUUUUUUCAAAUUUCACAAUGAAACAUGGUCAAACACCCACUUAGAAUCUCCUUAAAGUUGCUACUAUAAAGCAGUGAUUGAUGACCAAGCAGAAAAACUGGAAUUGAAGGUUUUGGAGGGCGAGUUAUAUACUAACAGCAAAGCAACACCAAUGAUGAACCAGAAACUCAACAGACACAGCAUUAACCUACUUGGAUAAAGGGAUAUUACACAUUCAGUCGCCCAAUUCACAAAAAGGAAAACUUAAUUAAUCUUAGACCGUUUUUUGUGAAGGGGGAAAUGAAGAGAACAAACUAAGACGGGCAAAAGAAUUAACUAGGGUGUGCUAUUCAUAGCACCAAUCAUUUCGGAAACUAGGACACAAAAGGAUUACAGUACCUGAAAUGGCAAUGAAGGUAGCGGAUCAGUGUCCCAAAUUGUAUCUUGUCCAACACCACUCAAAUAAAUCUGAGCAUCUAAUCGUGCAUCACCAUCUCUUGAGUAUAUGAAAUUAACAACAUAUUGUCGACAGAAAUUAUCUCUAAGUUUGUCUAGUGAAUGCUGAAGUUGACGCCUCCAGUCCUUGAGUUCUACAGUAUUGUUUGCGGCAGGCAUCAUAUUUUCAGACCCCACUUCCUUGCUUUCAUUAAGAACAUUCCAAAUUCUAGAUACAACCAUAGGCAAUAGUUCCUCAGCAAUGGUAAAUGCAGUUCCCAAUAGUGCAAGCUGCUGAGAGUCUGUUUCAGCUCUAAAAGGAACAGGUUCUUUCAGCUCAGUGAGAUUAUCAUCCUCAGAAAGACCAGGUAGAGCUUUAAUCAAUGAAUCCACAUACUUGUCAAAAAGAUGUGAAAUUCUGGUCAAUAUGUUAGCUCCAAAAUGUAGAAUGACUAACUGGGUGAGCUUCUCCACCAUUUCCUGCAGAGGAGGUCAAAGUUGGAUCAAAUUAUUAUUAAGCCAUCAUUACAAGAAACAGACAUCUGAUGCAGUGCUAUUGUUCUUGUCUCUUUUUUUUCCACAUGUUGCAGUUCAAAGCAAUCUCAAACAUCUAUCGGUGCUCCUACUUGAGCAAUGACAACUACUUGAGACAUCUAUUUAAGUGGCACCCCAUUGAAGGUUGUCCUAAAAUUGCAGCUAGCAGAAUCCAGCAGAAAAAGAACAAAAUCACGUGCAUUUAUGCAAUAUACACACGCAGACACAGAUAUUCAUAUACUGCACUAUUGAAAAUGGUAGUUAAGCCACCAUGCUGAAUAUGCAGCAAUAAGUGUGUUACAUACAAGACAGCUUCUUUUUCCCCUUCUUCAUUGGCAAAGCAGAAACGGUCCUUUGACGGAGUGGCCCUUUCAUGUUUUUAUACUAUUUUCUGCUCAAGAAAUAUUUCUUUUCUUGGACCAAGGAGGCACACUUUAACCCCCAAGGUUCUUUCUAUUUUUGCUAAUGAAUCCAGUAGUUGAAUAUACAAGAGUGUGUUCGUGUGUGUGGAUGGAGAGCAAGAGAGAAGAGAAUAAAGUAUCUAGAUUUAAUCUUCCAGUCUCUCAGCAGAUUCAGUUGUGCUAGAAAGGCCAAUCAUAGAAGUCUAUCAAAAACAAUAUUAUAGGUUACAAAUUGGUUAGAGUUCUUGCUGAAUUACCAAUUUUCAAAAAAAAAUAAAAAAUGGUUAGAGUUCUUGCAAGAAUACUUGCACACCUAUACGCCAAGUUAUGUAAAAGAACUUGCAUAGCAACUAUAACAAGGUGAGGGAGGUCUUUAUCGAGGGGAAUUAAUUUUAAAAAAAAGAAGGGAGAUUUAAAUCUGCACUGUGCACUUCAUAAAUCUAAGUCCUUUGAGGGAUACAGUAAUAACACUUGAGCAAUCAGAUGACCAAACAUUAAUAAAUAAGGAUUAAACCUUACUUUGACUAUAUAUAUGAAUCUCAUUCCACUUUCAACAAGCAGAGUAUCAGAUGUAGUUGCAAAUGUAGAUAAAGGAGACGCAAACCGAGGUGACAAUGGUUUCCCUUCAUCACUUGAAGCAAAAUCAAGAACCGCUUUCCUGGCUCGUAUAUAGUUCAACUCGAGGACUUCUUCCAUAUAUGGGUGCAAAAGCACCAAGAGUAAUUUUGACAGUUUAAGGCCCUGUUUCUCCAAGGCAUUACAGUGGUUAAGACUGGCUUGAACACAAACACUUGCUGCAUGUAAAGCAGGAGCUCCAUCAGAAGGCGGUGCGUGUUCUUUAACCAACCGCACAAAGUAUUCAAUUUCCCUUUCUGCCCACUGGAUAAUUCUGUUGCUAUAAACAGGAUUGUCACCAAACAUUGCACCAGAUUCCUUAGUAGUCAAAGAAAUGGUAGAGAAUACAAGGUUAGACAAUGUGGCUGAAUAAGUCUCGGGAUAACAAGGACAAAGGGGAAGGAAAGCCUCAAUACUUUUUCGAAGACGAGAUCUGUACGAAUUAACAAGUAGCUGAUGUGCCAAAGAACCUUUUCCAAGCUUGAGCAAACCAGACAAGGCUUUCUUAAGUUCAACAAUGCCAAUUGAGGGCCGUUCAGUGAUCUCAACCAGCUGAUUCUCGAGCAUCUUUUUUCUUUUAGACAAAGCAGAUUUAAAAGAUGAUGGUUCAGCAGAUGAAGUGUCUCCUGAACUUUUCAGCUCAGGAUGACUUCUUUCUUUAGCAUCUAUUGCCUCUAUUACUUCCUCAAUCUUGUGCUCAGCCAGAAGAACAUCAAUAUUCUCCAAAAACAACAUGUUUUCAUCUUCCAUGUCAUUCAUGAAAGUAUCACCAUAAUCAGAGCUUCGAGAACUUUCAUUAGCUUCUUGGACAUCAUCACUAGUUCGACUCCAUUCAUCCAAUUCUCUGCAUACACCAUUCAUGAGAUCUUGAACAAGAAUCCCCUGUGCGGAUAUAUGCUUUCUAAGCUCAUUGAGUUCGUGUUCUGUUUCCACAACUUCCUCGGACAAUCUACAAUGACAAGAACAGAUUAGAAGUUGACCUUUGCAUGUAGAGGGGUCACCUACCAUUACAUGAGUUCAUUUAAGGUUGUGUGAUAACAGUGUCUAUAACUAUCCAAUGUGUCUGUGAUUUGACCACUAAUCCAGUGUACUUAAAAGAAUCUGCACAAAGGACCCAUAUCCAAGUUGCACCCAUUUGGCAUGGGUACAUCAAGGCGAAUGAAGGACACAUAACAUGAUCAAGAGAUUAAACUGAAGGUGAUAGGUACAAAAAAUACAUAAAGCAGCCUGAUGCAAAAAGUAGGCAGUAAUGACAAAAAGAACAGCUGAACAUGCAAAGUUCAAAAAGACUAGAUGCAAGUAAUCGGUCUAGCUAAAUUUAUGGAGAUUAUUAACACCAUCUACAUUUUGAUCUAGAGAUAGUAAGUUGAACAGUCAAUAAACUCUCUUUCAAUGUGUUUUUUCAUAUCUCAUGUAUUUGUCGAUAAGGAACUAUGUCUUGUAGCCUUCUCGAAUAAAAAAGCUCUCAUAUAAUAAUUUGGAAUAUAAGAAGAGCAAUUUGAUGAUGAUUAUUCUCCUAUUUCACAAAUAGAUGCAAGAGCAAUUCGUCCCUUUAUUACAUGCUAUCUCUGCUUUCAGUUCCUCUACCUAAUUAUGCACGUAAAGCGUUCAGUAUUGAUGUUAGGAUUUCUGAUCAAAUAGAUAAUGGAACCACUAUAUAUUGAUAAAUCUGACUGCCAUUCUGUUAAAUCAACUCUUAUCUAUGAAAGUUUUUUUAAAAAAUAUAACAAACAAAAAGCAAAAAGAUAAUAUAGAAGGGUACACAAAAAAGGAAGCAUAAAACAGGGGACAAAUUGCACUUAUCCAGAUAAAUAUUAGAUAUCUUCUAAUGCUGUGCUAGUAAACCAACUGUUUAAAGGAUGUGUCUCUCCAAACUUUUCUACUUCUUACCGUUUCCCCACAACCGAAACCCCCCCCCCCCAGAACCAUAUAAAUGGAAAGACACGUCGGGUUCCCUCUACAGUUCUAAGGAAGGAUUCUCAAUAUCAGAGACUAGAACAUCAAGAGGCAACCCAUAAAAAGUGGACACAGUUGGGUUGAUUUUUGGUUCUUCUAGAAAUAGGAUUUGCUAUCGACAUGAACUCAACAUCAGACUUUAGUAUGAGUCCAAAUACAUAAACUACCAGAUAGUUCUCAUGGUCUCCUAGCUGUGAAGGGAUGCCGCCUUCUGUACAAAUUAUAUCACAUCUCUUUGAGGUAGUACCUGUAUUUGCCGAUGAUACACAUUUUCUCAUUUAAGUUUUGCCAUUGUGCCCUUGGAAAUUUAAGUUUUUAACAGACUGGUAACCAUAGUUUCCAUAGAAAAGGCAGGAAAAAUGUUUAUGAAAAUGUAGUAUUGAACAGAAUUCUCUUCCACUUUGUUUUGGUCUAGUAAAAGAGUUUCAUCAGCCAAUACCUCAAGAAGGCCAGGCACUUUGUUCGAGUAUUACCACACAGGUUCUCCACCGCAUCCUUCAAAUCCAAAAGCUCAAAACAGAUUUUCCUAAUUCCCUGCACAACUCAGAACAAUAAACUGGGGAACCCAUAAGAAAGACAAAAACUGGCAAAAUCAGCAAGCACUCCAAAAAUAGUGGGAAAGAUAAAAACUACUUUUAUCUGUGAUAUAUUGAAAAAUUAACCAAAAAGAAACGGAACAAGCACUUAAAGAAAUUGAGUAUGCAUUUUUUGGAAAUAAAAAAAGGUAAUAGUUUGGCACAUAACAAGCACUUACAGAUGUUUGUACUACCAAUUUUUUCCUAUCUAUUCAUGGUAUACAGAAUUCCUAAUAUCGACAUAACAGAAAUCAAGUUCGAUUAUUGUAGCCAACAUAUCUCCACACACAAAAAAAAGUUAAGGGAUGUUAUCAAAGAUAAAUUGGGAAGAACUCUAAUUGAAUUGGUUGAAGAUAAUACAAGAGAAGCUCUAAUACAGGAACCUUAGUCUACCUACAAUAAAAUAAGUAAUUAUUUUGUAUGUCCAAUAAUAUAUUCUUUAUGGAUAUGGGUUGUGUUAGCAUCAGGACAUGUUGUCAAGAAAAUUCUGCCCACCAAGGCUGGAGUAUAUAGGCUCACACCAAGUAUUGUAGUGUAAUUCGGACAUGAGAUUUCUAGGUUGUUACUCCCAUGACACAACCUCUAGGUCAUCCCCUUGUGAACAAAAAGGGGCAUCCUUUAGCUUUCUUCCUUAAAUCUUUUGUUUGGAAAAAAAAACUAAUUUUACCUUGCACUUGUUAACAAAGCAGAUUUUUAAAACUCCCUUGCCUUAUUUUCCCAACUCCUCUUAUUUGAUCAUAAUUCUUCACGUCUACUCACCGCAUCGCCAACCAUUCUCCUUAUUUUAACCUUUACCCUAAGGAUGGUUGCAAGCAUUCUGGUAUGAUCCACUACAUUUGCUCAUUUUAACUCUCAAGUACAGUUUGGAAUUAUUCUGGUCAAGACCAAGAACAGACAGUAUUCUGAAUUCAAAGUCCUCGUAAAUAUACUCAUUUCCAGAUAAGGUCCUCAUAAAUGUACUCAAAUUGUCAAGAUUCAUGUCCAACUAUAUCAGCGAGAUUACACUAAGAAUUAUCCACUAGGAAGAUUAUUUGAAGAAAUUUACUGAAUCAACAUUAAUAAAAUGAAAGAAGGCACUACUGGCACAUUAAUACAUCAGUAAAACUAGUACAUAGAUGUUGAAAUUUUACUGGUCUAAAGCAAAAAAAAUCCCCGAUUAUAUGGAAGAGCAUCUUUGAUGCAUAGAGAAGCUAUAGAUAAUCAACUAACAUCCAAAAAUGCUUAACAGUCCCAUCACACAUGAUUAAUUCAACCACUCUAUGAAGCUCAAAAUUCUAUAAUCCAUCCACAUGUAGAUGAAACGGAUAGCUUCUAAGCUUCCCUACUUCCAAUAAGCAGAUCCAUGAACCAGUCAUGCAGAACAGAAAAAACAACAAUUGUAGCUAGUUUUAAGCCCUGUUCUCCCUCAAAAAUCACACACAUCGUCACCAACAAAAAAUCAUGAACCAAGGAAUCAGCUCUUGUCCCUGCCUAGCAUAUAACCAAGUUAAGGCAGACACACUUCAGGAAGACCUAAGCCAAAUAUUUUCACCAAAGCACUAACAUUUACUCCCAGCACUUAAAAUAUAACCUAGGAAACCAAGUUGAAUUUGAACUCACAAUAUAAGGAACAUCCACUUAACUAUUCAUGGAAGAACUAAAGCUUAGUAUCACUUCAGCAGGUAAAACUAGGUUUGUUUCUUCUACUCUAAAAAGGGAUACCUCAAGAAACCAAACUAAAUAAAAAUUCCAAAAAAUAAAAAUAAAAAAUCCCACCUAGAAAAACUCACAAAUUUAGCUCAGAAAACAGAUCAAACUUCAAGGAAAGAACAAGCACACUUCCACAUUUCAUCUAGUACCAAAAAUUUUACUUCCAGUACUUGAAGCGAAAACCCAGCAAACGAAAUUGAACCACAACUCCAAAAAUAAAGAUCACCUAGAUGAAAAGUUCCAAACUUGAUUCCAAAAAUUGAUCAAACCCCAAGAACAAAUAAGAGCAGUUGAAUUUGCUAUCAUGCUAUUUUCUGAGUUAAUGAAACAAAAUGGGGGUGAAAAGAACGUAGAGAAAAUGCAAAAGAUAGUACCUUUUCAGUCUUGGACUGGUAAAUUGAGUCGAUCUUGGACUGAGGAGUAACACUUUCAAUACAUGGGAAAUCAUCUUCUUCUUCACUGCUUUCCAUCCUCAUUUUGGCGUUUCCAACCAGUAGAUUUUCCGCUUUUGCAGCUAUGAAAAUGGGAAAAAUGAAGAGACACACAGUUCAGUGGACUUCGCCUUGUAAUUGGAGAGUUCGAAAAAAGAGCCUUUAAAUUAGUAAAUGAUUUAUACAUGUUACCAAUUUAAUUAAUAUAUAUGUUACUAAUUUAAUUAAUCAAAAUAAAAUAAUUUAUGUUCCCUUACUGAAAACUUGACUUCAAGGAAUCACUAAACAAAGAUAUAAUGAUAAAUUUACCUAGUUUUUUUUUUUUUAAGAGACGUGAAAUCUAAAUUGAUGACAUAAAUAAAAAUGGAAGAGUAGUAUAAAGUACAGAAAUCUCAUAUAUUUGGAACUAAUUACAUUUUAUCUUGAAAGUUUCUUCAAUUACAAAUUGCUCUCAGAUACAUUUAUUAUUGUGCGAUACGUUGCAAAUUUACUUAAUGGGAGGGAUGUAUCCGAGAGAGGAUAAGAAUGCAUUCGAGAGGAGAUAGAUGUAUUCGAAAAGGAAUAGGAAUGUAUCCAUAAGAGAAUUUUUGUAACUUUUUUAAAUGAUAGGAAAUUUUAGAGAUCAUGAUAUCUCAAAUUGUGUAUUUAUGUAAAAAAAAAUUCCUAACUUGUGUUAUCAUUCAUUUUCAAAAAAAAAAUUGACAAAGAAAAAUAAAAAGGCCAAAAUGUUCCUUAAAAAGUCAUGACAACAAACAUAAUUAAUAUGAAUUUGAAAAAGGGGAAGAAAACAAAAGGGAAAUAUCAUUGAUUUGUAUACGAAAAACUACUACUACUAUUUGUAAUUGAAAAUGACUUCGAAAAAACAAGUUCAGAUAAAAUUGUACUAUAAAAUAUGUGUAUAACAACAUAAAUUUUGUACAACAAACUAGAAAUGAACUUUAGUCCAAAACUACAAAAAAAAAAGGGUGUUUUUAUAANNNNNNNNNNNNNNNNNNNNNNNNNNNNNNNNNNNNNNNNNNNNNNNNNNNNNNNNNNNNNNNNNNNNNNNNNNNNNNNNNNNNNNNNNNNNNNNNNNNNNNNNNNNNNNNNNNNNNNNNNNNNNNNNNNNNNNNNNNNNNNNNNNNNNNNNNNNNNNNNNNNNNNNNNNNNNNNNNNNNNNNNNNNNNNNNNNNNNNNNNNNNNNNNNNNNNNNNNNNNNNNNNNNNNNNNNNNNNNNNNNNNNNNNNNNNNNNNNNNNNNNNNNNNNNNNNNNNNNNNNNNNNNNNNNNNNNNNNNNNNNNNNNNNNNNNNNNNNNNNNNNNNNNNNNNNNNNNNNNNNNNNNNNNNNNNNNNNNNNNNNNNNNNNNNNNNNNNNNNNNNNNNNNNNNNNNNNAAAAAAAAAAUGGGUGUUUUUAUAAGAUAUAAAAGUUUGAUAUAAUAACAAAAAGUCGUGUACACUUGGGUGCAAUUUAUUCUAUUUAUCUAAUAAAGUUUUGGUAACGUAAACAGUAAAAAGAGAGAACUUUACAUGAAGAGCAAGUUUUGAUCAUAACAGCAACAACAACAAAGUCUAAGUACAUUUCAUUGAUAAAAUCAAGUACAAUACAUGAUAAUGUUUUAACUUUGUCAAGAUUGACAGAGUAUUUGUGAAGAAAUACAUAACAGAUAAGAAAAACACUUCCAAAGAUAAAUAAGAUUGUGGAACAAUUGCAGAUUACAAAUGUUGCAGAUAACUUAAGAGGGGAAGAAUAUGAAGCUUAAAAUGUUAUUAUUCCCCAAGUCUUCAGAAACUUGAAUCCUAUUUAGUGUUUAGUUGAAGAAUUAGCAAUCACAUUGAGGCGUCGAGGAAAGCAUCAGAGACAUCAAGUUCCACGUUCAGGUUUUUGGCUGAAGGCAUUCCUGCAACCACUUCUUCUUCAAUGCCACACUCGUUUGUUCCUCUUCUGAUCUUGAAGUAGCCAUCCUGCCAUGAAGACAAAUAUACAUUUGAGAAGAACAUCAUAAGGAUGUACGCGCUGCUCAAUUAGCACAUCUUCAAGAAGUAGGAAAGAUGAAAUCACCCAACAAUGUACAAAAGUAAUAGCUACGGAUGUUGAACAUUAUGAAUCAAGUGUGUAAAAUCCUAUUAAGAAAGGGUAAACCAAUGGUUCAACAACUUUUAAUAUUUUUCGUAGAAGAAGAAGGAACUAUUUCUGCUCAAGUAAAAUGUUGAAAGAAAAAGGGUUAGAUCAAGACAUACGUCACCCCAGCCUCUGUUCCAUUGAUUGGCAAGGAGCUGCAAAGCCAAAAAAAAGAUGAUCGAAUUUAGAAAGGACGGAAUGAUUUUGAAGAUCUUAAUGGCACAAUUAGAAGAUGUCAACAAACCCAAUAGUUCUCUCCAUCCUCAGAGGUUCCCCAUCCAAUGAGCUUAACAGCAUGUCCUCCCAUUUCCUCACCAUUUAUGUGUUUGUAAACUCCAGACUUGUAGUGAGCGAAAUCCUGCGCUCGAGAAACAGAAAUAGUAAAGAAACUAAUCCAAGUCGGCAAAUUUCAAUUUCACCAGAAAAGAGGAUGCAUUCACAAGGACACCAUGCUGAGGGCAAAUGCAAGAACAAAAUAAGCAGUCUACUACUUUAGUAUGCACCAAUUGACAAACAGUACGAUUAUGCAGAAAUGGCUCAAAUAUUUCCAGACUGAGAAAUUAGUGCGUUUAAACAAUGACCUCUAGAUCCAUUUAAGCAGAUCAUUGAACUUUCUAACUGGCACUUCAUUGUCAUGGACAUAAUUAUCCUGGAACAUAAACCUCUACAGAUCACUAAUUGGCACAAUAUUUCCACAAACAUAGUAGAUGGUAACACUAGAAUUCAGAAGGAUAGAGUUAGUGACCAACAAUUAUUUUGAGCUCUGUCGAACAGCUUAUCAACAAUUAUUUGACAGUUAACCAUCAAAAGAAAGUAAUUCCAAUUAUAUUUUGCUAUAUAACUCAGCCAAGCAUUAUUAUUGUCCUCACAUAUGAUUUGUAAGGGAAUCACAUUUAAAAAAUUAGAAAAGGGUAUUUGUAAUAUUUAACUAAAGUUUCUCAAAGUUCAUUAGAGUUGGCCUAAAAUAAGCCGUCCAAGGUUAACAAUAUCACGGGGUAGAUAGAGAACUGCUGUUCGAUUGUUGCUUGGGAUUAAGGCAUAGUUGUUAUUGUUGUUGUUUAUCAGGUUCAUGCAACAUUCAACUUCAUAUCAUAUAAUAUAAAUUGUACCCAAAAAUUCAGGAUCAGAACUUUACUCUCUUUCUCGAUCAUUCUUACCUCGUAAACAGUAAAAGAAACCUCAACUGGUCCAUUCUUGUAAACUUCUGUCAUGAUACUGUACGGAUCGGAGUUGAUCAGGUAUGCAUUGACGCCAAAAUGCUUGGAUUUACUCCAGAGUAGAUUCUCUUUAACACACUUCCUCUUGCACUGUGGAGUGGGAUAUCCAGGUUCACAUCCAGGGUGGGAACAUCCCUUAUUAUCAAAGUAAGGGUCACACUGACAGGAAAAAUUUUAUUAGUCGAGCAUAAUGAUCCACAAUCUUUUUUCAGAUUGGUAUAAGAAUCCCACAAUAUCUGAAAGAUGUAAUCCCUCUGAAGUACAAUAAGUGUAUAACAAAACAGAAUACCUCUUCAGUGACCACACCCUUGCGAACAAAGUAUUUCCAAGCUUCUAAUGGAUAUCCACCAUCACAACCAUCCCCACAUAAAUAGCCACAGCAUGCUACGAUAUCAUUAGCUGACAGAGAGAUAUUCUGCCUCACACAUAAAAAUUGAAUCAUUAGCGACAAUAACUAGAAUAAACUUGCAAGUUUUUGCAUGAAGGAAUGAAUUUACCAAGCCAUAAUGAAUACAGAAACGAUCAGACAAUGACUCAGCAGCACCAAAAGCCCAACAAGAACCACAAUGUCCCUGAAAUAUAAACGAUCAGAUUGUUAGAAUACCAGGAAAGAGCGAUUUAGCAAAUUCACGAGGAAAAACAAAUGAGUGAAAUUAGAACCAAGACAAAUCACCUGAUCUGCGUCGCAAAACAGUACCGGUGCAUGACAUCGAAAGAUGGAAAGCAUUAGCACCACUCUAUAGAAUUACAGCACUAAACCAAGGACAAAAGAGAAGAAACUAACCAAGAAUUCUCCCAAUAGUGCUACACUGAGGCCAAGCCACUCGUGCAUCAAACUCUUGGGGUAACUUCAAAAGUUCUGGAUGAGUUAAAAUAGGGAUGCCCUUCAAAUCACCCUUUCUUGUGGGCUUAACUCCAAGAAGGCGCUUAAAUUGGGAAACCUGUGAAUGAAGGGUACAUGCACUCAUAAAAGGAGAGCUGAAGGAUGUGGCAUUGCACAAAGAAAGUGCACCUAAGUUUGUCCAAAACGAAUAUACAGCUUUAUCGAAAUCUCACCGUGAAAUUCGAGAAUUGAGGGUUCAGUGCAGCUCUCCAUCCAGCUUUUUCAUUUUCGUUAACCUGUUUAACGAUUGAAUCCUGUACGACCAUUCAAAAAGAAUCUGUGACCUUUAGUUUGAUCAGAGUACAAUGACAGUAAUAUCUUCUCUAUGAUGAAGGAAAUCACACCUGAAGGAUUGCAGAUUCCGCUUUAGCUUGGGAUAUUGGAUUUUCUGCAACAACCUGCUUGCCGUUCAAAAAAAGAAAUUAUGUAUUCAACAAUGGACUACAGGAAGAUUAAAUAACUUCGGGUAUAGGCUUCAGCAUAUGGUACUUUAACCAACCAAGACUACGCUUUCGCAAUAAUUGGACCUAAAUCAUCCACAAUUCAGACUGUCAACCUUCUAAAUGCCUUAAAUUGAAUCCUAGCUGCUGUAAAGUCGAAAGCAACAUUGAGAAUAUGAAAGAGAUUAAGAACUCGAUCAUGUAAUUUUGGCUCAAGCAGCAACGCUUCUCCUCCACCAUUUCCCCUUUUCUAUUUCUUAGCAAAAUAGGGGAAGUCUGGAGGUGAAGUCUUCAAUUUCCCACUUACAAACUCAACAUAGCAGCAAAAUGCUGUUUCGCAUUUCUAGUUUUCUUUAAUUUCCAGUCAUAGCAUGCCAUGAAUUUUCUCAUUCAUUUGACCCAUAUACUUUUUUCUUUCUUCUACUCGUGAAACACACACAACCAUUGUUGCAAAAUCUACACUUGUACUGCAAGUGUAUAUUGUUUUGCAUUCAUUUAGCUGCAAGAGAACUAGGACUGGAAAGAAAACUAUAUUUACUUCGACCUAAAUUGAUAAAUUGAUUUGGUUCAUAAUAUUAAAAAGUUAGUUGUAAAUAUAAAAACAAAUGUUUUCAUUUUCUUCGUUUGGCAUAGACAAUAGAUGCAACUAUAUGUGCUAAGUCUGAAUGUUUAUGCCCGUCCCUUACCACUCACAAAUUAUUCAUCAGCAUCCAAAUAUAUUAAGUUAGAGCAAGAUAGCAUCAAGUUCAGGCUCUGGUACCAUUUGACAAUUCCCACUCAACAUUUUAUAAUCAAGGAACUUAAAGUGUGAAUAUGAACCAGCACAGAAUAAACAGUGGCCUUGCAGAAGCUCAUGGCAAACUAGGAUUUGUCUCCACAUGGCUUAAUUAGACAAUUACUUUCUUAGGAGUUAGGACCUGGGCAAUUGAUUCAAUUGGGCAAUUACUUGCUACGAAACAUCUUUCUACCUUUAUGUAAUCUUAGAAUUAUGUACUGCGGUAGAUUAUCAUCUAGUGGCGCUUCAUUCAUAUACACCUUUAAAGUUUAUGGUAGGUGAAAAACCAUAUACACAAAAUACCAUUACACCAUCCAUCCCCCUCCCCCUUUCCACACUGUCAACCCAACAUACUUCGAUUGUUUUUGGUACAUAAUAUACCUCAACUACAUGUAUAUAGAUACAUAUAUAUCCCACCCCACCCCCAAACCCAAAAAGGGAAAACAAACAAACAAACAGACCCCAAGCAAACCUAAUCCUCAAGAAUUGCAGGUAAUAUAAACAGAACCUUUAAAAAACACUAAAAAGAUUUCAUUUUUUAGGGGUAUAUUAGUUAAUUAACUAAUUAUCAUCAUGAUUACCAAGAUUAAGCUCAACCCAAAAGCUAAAAAUGAAAAGGACAUGGGGUUUCGGUCUGAUACAAUAACUUAAUCCAUCCAUUCAUCUAAAAGCUAUAUAAAGCAAACCAAUCAUCCAAAAACACAACAAAAAAAACCAUAAAGAAUCAAGAAUCAAACCUGCAAAACAAGGGUAGAGACAGCAACCAAAAGCAAAAAAGUGGUUAUGUGCUUCAUAUUUUUGGGCUUUCCUUUGGGGUUCUGCAAUGGUGGUUUAAAAAUAAAGCAACCCCAGAAAAUAUAUAUUUAUAGAUACAGGAAAAAGAUGAAUGAAUUAUUGGCCCUCUUUCUUGACGUAUUAAAAAAAAAUUAUAUUAUUGCUCCCGAUAUUUUGAAUUAAAUAAUUGGAUUAAUUAAUGUUCAGUUCCAUAGGUCUGGAAAAUGUUUAGUUGAGGAACACGUGUAAUUUUUUUAUUGGAUAUAAGAGUGUACUAAUUUUGUCAUUUUAAAGAUAAAAGGCCUAAGUCAUCCACCGCCACUCAAAUUUAUCUGCAUAUUUGACUAAAAAAUGUGUUUCACCCUCCUUAAGCGCGUUAAACAAUUGAUUUUUUAUUUUUUAUUUAUUUUCCAACUUAUACUGCUAAUAUUUUUUAAAAUUAAUUAACAAAAAGAAAUGAAAAAAGAAGAAGAAAAGUCGUCUUCUUCCCCCACCCCUCUUUUCAUAACCUCCUUCACCCACACCCUUUCCACCUCUCUCAUUCUUUCUCUCACUCUCUCCAACUCUUUUUGGUUUUUACCUUCUUUCAUUUUUUAGUUAUUACAUAGACCUAAGUUUCAUAUUUUCCGGCAUAACUCCAUUUUUUCAAUGAAGAUAACAUUUUUUUUCGGCAAAAGUUAAUUAUUUUUCAUAUAAUUGUAAUAAAUGAUUAGUAAUGGAAAGAAAAUGAAUGGAACGAGUGAAAACUUUUGAUGCUAUUCGGUUGAAAGGGGAAUUAAUUUUAGCUUGGGUACGCAACCAUGUCAUACUACUUGGGGCGAAGAGGCAAGGCUUACUCAUUGUGAUCACGAUACCGCCGGGGAAUGUGAUAGUACAUGAUUUGACGAAGAGGACUGGUGGCGUGGGUGUGUAGGUGGCUUUUUUAGAAAAAUCGUUUUAAAUUUUUUAGUUAGUUUUUUAAAAAAAUAAUUAAAAUAGACUAAAAUAGUUGUUUUUUAGAAUUUCAUUUUUAAAAUACAUUUUUAGAUUUAAAUUACACAUGUCAUCAUUUAAUUCAUCAAUUUGUCAUGUCACUGUGAUGUCACAACAAGUGUAUUACACACAUCUCAUAUUUUGGGCUGAUUGUCAAAACAAUGUCAAAUAGGUAUCAAUUUUAAAGGAUACAGGUGUUCAAUAGAUACAAACUUUAGUUGCGGUGUUUAAACGAAUUAUGUGGAUAAUUUUAAGGGGUCGUGAAUAACUUAAGCCUAAAGAUAAAUUAACGAUUGAGAUAUCUUAUCAUCUGUUUGUAAAAAAGAUAUUAAAAUAAAAAUCCUUCAAGGUAUUUUUAAUUUGAAAUGAACUAUCCACUUGUUUGUUUACCAUUAUUUGGAAGAAUGGGCCGUAAUUUCAAUUCUUGUUUUUUUAUGAAAUAAAUAAAUAUGAAAGAUAACGUAAUGGGUCUUAUGGAUAUAUACGUAUAUCUUUCAACUUGAAUAGAAAAAUAUAAUAUUAUUAAAAGAAUUUAGUAAUAAUAUGUUGGAAAGGUACUAGAUUAGUUUAGUUUACAUUGAGAAAUAAAAGUUCUUACUAAUACAAUAUUUAGAUUUUAAUAUAAUAACUUAAUAUAUAUUAUAUACUUAUAUAUAUUCAUGAGUUAAUAUCUUAAAAUGUCACUCAACUUUAGAAUUUUAUCUAGCAAAGUCACUAAUCUUUAUUUUGUAUCAAUAAAAUCACUCAAUUUAGGCCUUUAUAUCAAUAAAAUCACUCAAUCAAUUCCUAUUAAAAACAAUUCACACCACAAAUAAAUUAAUUUUUUAUAUUAUGUUCAUGAUUAAACUACUAAAUACAUGACUCAAAAUUACUAUUUCAUUAUAAAAUAAUAAAAGUUCAAAAUAAAAGAUAAAUUUAUCAAAUUUACAUAAUUAUAUUCAUGUUAUAAUCUUAAUAAACAUCUUAUUUUUUCUAUUUAUACGAGUGACUUUAGGCCAAAGUUUUAAUAGAAAAUUAUGUAACUUAAAAAGUGGCGUGUGGACAACUAGUAUGGUAUUGGAUUUGAUGGGAUGGCUUAUUUAUCUUAUGAUUUUUUAAUUCAUUUUGAAAAGAAUAUUUUUUUAAGAUUGCACAAUAACACUCUGACAAGAAAAGGGAUGCGUUAACGCGUAAGUCGUAAUUGCUACUUUUUCUUUCUUGCUCCUUAUUUCAAACUCAAGAAAAAUCCUGAUAAAUACGAGAAAAAAGCACUCAAGCGCCCAAGCCCGUUUGGCCAUAGAUUUCCCAAGUAAAACUUGGGAAAAAAUUUGGCAAAUAUUGUUUGUCCAUACACUUUCUCAUUAUUUGGCAAAUUUUUUUGGCAAAUAACCCAAAUUCCCAAAUACUAGUUUUUUCUAGUAUUUGGGCCAAAUCUCUUUAUUUGGAAAGUUUUAAAAAUUCAAAUUUAACACCAAACUUUUAUCUUUUACAAAAACACUUUAUUUAUUAACACCAACCAACUCAAUCAAAUCUCCAUAUGCUAACUAACUCAAUUAAUAAAUUUUUCUAUUAUAAAGAGCAUACAUGUACAAGAGCAUACAUUGCAAUAUUUAUUUCCUUCUGUUUUCUUCUUCUUUUUCAAAUUCAUAUUAGUUGUAUUUUCAUUAUCAUGAUUUGUACUAGUCUUUUUUAACGAUGCGACUAUUUACUGUAAUGAUGCUUUUGAUUUGUUGCGGAAGUCAUGAAUCUUGUUACGCGACAUUUCUAUUUUGCUAUGUAAUACAAAUUUAUGGUUAGUUUUGAUAGUUUUAAAAACUUAUGGGCAUAAAUCAUAUUUCUUAAAAAAAUUGAAAUAUAUUUCCCAAAUACUAUGGCCAAACACAUGGUGAAAUUUCACCCAAAUCUUCACCCAAAUAAUAUUUGCCAAAUAUAUUUGGAAAUCUAUGGCCAAACGCUAGCUAUAUAAGGGGGCUUGGGCUCAAAAGUUGGUCUUACUCAACAAACACCUUUCUUAGCAAAGUUGUAGUAACUCUUUAAUGCUAACUUACCAUGUGACAUGUUUAUGAUCACAAGAUUAAAAAAUAUUUUGUCACAUUACAUGUCUUUGAUUUAAGACUACAAUAUUUUAUUUUUUUAAAUUAUUUUCUUAAACUCCGUGUCAAACUGAAACUAAUUAAAUAGCAAUUUACAUUGAGGCAUCAAGGAAAGCAUCAUCAAGUUCUACAUUCAAAUUUCUUGCUGAAGGCAAUCAAUCUUGCAACCACACUAUGUUCAAUGCCAUACUCAUUUGUUCCUCUUUCUGAUCUUGAAGUAUCCAUCAUGUCAUCACGGAGAGAUAGAGCUUGGCUUAAGUCAUCUGCAGCCCCUUAAAGUUGUCCGCAUAAUUCAUUUAGACAUCUCAACUGAGACUCGUACCUAUUAGACACUUUAAUAUUAAUGAAUAUUUAUCUAUUGAACAUAAAAUGACAACUAGCAUUAAAAAUAUUGUGCGUGUAAUUCACACACAUUAUCUUGACAAAAUCACGAAUAAAAUUACGACACGUGACACAUGGACCCAUAAUUUUAAUUUUGAAAAAUAAAAAAUAAUUUUCAGCCUUUAAUAAUAGAGAAAAUUAAAUUGACAAAAAAAAUCUCCCCACUCCCUACCUAACCCCCCACCCCAUCUAACCUAUUUGCCCUUUUCUCCUUCGUCUUCUUCUCUGUCACUCCGCCAUCGCCAUUCACCAUCGAUUUCUCCGGCGAUAACAAAAAGAAAAAUAUCUCCCCCACCCCUUCCUGAAUACACCCACCAAAUCCUUUCCUCUUUCUUUUUCUUCCCGUGUUACUCAAAAUAAGAAUAAUCGACAUCGAUAAAUUAUUUCGAAAUUGAAAACGAAGAGAAAAUCAGAAUUAUAGCAAAAAAAUUUAUAACAUUUUUUAAUAAGUUUAAUGAAUGGUGAUGGUUGCUCGAUCGGAGUUAUUGAAAAUAAAGAUGCACAAUUGGUCGACUUUUUAACUCCAAUGGUCGAUUUUUUUUCUUCUUCUUGCAAAUUCAACAGGCAGUUUGUUUGCAAAUUUAGCAGGCAGUUUGUUUACCAAAAAUGAAGAAAAAAAAAAUGCCAAAACAAAAGACAGAAAUUUGAAGUCUUGAAAAUGAUGGGUCGAAGAAGAAGAGGACUUGUACAUGGGUGUGAGGGUGAUUUUUUUUUUUAUGAAUUAAGAUUAAUGUUUAAUUAAAUUAAUUUUUCAUUUAUUUAGUCAAUGCAUGCCAGGUGUCAAGAAAGUAGGUAUAAAUUUACUUUAAACAAUAAAAAAAAAUGUAUUCACACGCUCAUCAGCAGUGAGAUACACUUAUUUUGCCACAUCAGUGUUUUGUGUUUAAUAGGUACAUGUCUUGAACAAUUUAGGUGUUCAAUAGGUACAAGUCUUAGUUCAGGUGUCCAAGUGAAUUAUGCGGACAACUUUAAGGGGUCGUGGAUGACUUAACCCGAUAGAGCUUUAACUUACAUGCAUCGACUAUGUAUGAUUUGUAGUAAAUAAUAAAUAGUUUGAGAUAAUUAUUUUUAGAAAUUAUGACAAAUUAUUGGAGAUGGAUGGAGUAAUAUAUAAUUCUCGAGGAAAUUAUCUAAAAACAAAAUUAUAGUACUCUCUCUAUACAUAUUUACUUAUUCAUUCUCGACUCACUUGACGCAUCUUGUAAAGAAUAAUAAAUAGAAUGAUAAUUUUAUUAAUAUUAUCUUUUAAUCAUGAUAAAUUCAAUGUUUUUAAAAUGCAUUGAGAAAGUGACAAAUUUUCUCAUGAUUUUUCAAAUUGAUCAAGUGAAAAUGAUAGUUAUUUUUAGAACCCCGUUUGGCCAUGCGAAUCAUGAUAUGGUAUCAUGAUAUGGAAUCAUGAGAUGAAAUUGAAGGUUUGUUUGGACAUGAUAUAUGGAAUUUUUGUGUAAUAUAUUUUUUCAUANNNNNNNNNNNNNNNNNNNNNNNNNNNNNNNNNNNNNNNNNNNNNNNNNNNNNNNNNNNNNNNNNNNNNNNNNNNNNNNNNNNNNNNNNNNNNNNNNNNNNNNNNNNNNNNNNNNNNNNNNNNNNNNNNNNNNNNNNNNNNNNNNNNNNNNNNNNNNNNNNNNNNNNNNNNNNNNNNNNNNNNNNNNNNNNNNNNNNNNNNNNNNNNNNNNNNNNNNNNNNNNNNNNNNNNNNNNNNNNNNNNNNNNNNNNNNNNNNNNNNNNNNNNNNNNNNNNNNNNNNNNNNNNNNNNNNNNNNNNNNNNNNNNNNNNNNNNNNNNNNNNNNNNNNNNNNNNNNNNNNNNNNNNNNNNNNNNNNNNNNNNNNNNNNNNNNNNNNNNNNNNNNNNNNNNNNNNNNNNNNNNNNNNNNNNNNNNNNNNNNNNNNNNNNNNNNNNNNNNNNCACAAGUUUGAGUCAAAAACACUUCUAAUAAAAUUUAAUCAAAAAAAUUAUAACUAGUCCACUUGACUAAAUAUUAAUAACUAAUUGAUCAAAUUUUUCCCAAGUCCUCAAUCCAUUGGACUUGAUAUUCUUCAGUCAUGUGAUAACAUUUUGCGAAUACUAAAAGAUUAAGAAAGUGCGGCACCGCCAAUGAAAAUUGCCUUUUAUCAAUAUUAUGCUUAGUCAUAAGAUUAAGACGUUUUUUUUUGUUAUGAAAAAUCAAAAAAGUAUUAGUCCCUUCGUUCUUAUUUAUAUUCACCAAAUGAAUUUCUACUUUAUCAUUUAUAUUCACCAAAUUUAAAGUAAUAAUAAAUUUUAUAUUGGUGAGAAUAAUAAAUUUUAAAAAGUAAUGAUGUGAUUAUAAAUUUAUUUACAUAUGAAACAAAUGGUUAGUAGAUAUAAAUGUGGGGUUGUUUUAACAAAAUAUAAACUCAUGGAUCAAUUAUUGUAUUAAAAUAUCUCAAAUCAUGAUAUGGAAUUACAUGGUGAUUCCAUAUCAUGGUUUUUGGAGAAUAUGGUAUCAUCUCUCAUGAUAUGGAAUCAUGAGAUGGAAUCAACGUAAAAUCGCAUGUCCAAACGAUGAUUCCAUCUCAUGAUACCAUAUCGUGAUAUGGUAUCGCAUGGCCAAACGCCUACUUAGUAUAGUAAACAAAUGAAAGUAUAAGAAGAAUAAAUUUAUAAAUUGUCAACUAUAUUUAUUGAAUAAAUAUAUAAACGAAUAAACUGACAAUCAUGAAAAGAAAAAUGUUAUCUUUUUCCACUCAAAAGGGGAGUCUAAUUAAAAUAAAUAAACAGACACUAAUUAAGGUCUUGAAAAGCUCCCUUUGGAGGUUUUUUGUAUGGUUUUUAUGAAUAUUAGAUAAAAAUGCAUUCGCAAAUGCGUUUAAGGUACAUUUUAACAAUUUAAAGAGAUUUUUUUUUAACUUUUUCUCAUAUUAUCCUUGGUAUAAAUAACUACAUAUUUAAUAGUAGUAGUUAAAUUUAGAGUUCCAAAGUAUAUUAGUAAAGUUAGUUUAGUAAAACACAAUUCUAAUUAAAAUUUUCUUAAGGAAUGUGUCCAGUCAAUAGGGAUCAAGUAAUACAAAAUGAAAAGAGUAUAUUCAACUUUCAUCCGAGUCAUAUUUAAACGAAUUGUGCAUAACUCUAUCGAUUUUGGUGUUGAGCUGUGUUUUUUUAAUUUUUAUUUAAAAAGCUCUUAGGUGGAUGCCCCAAUUAAAUUUAGGUUCACACGACCUCAAAGUGAAUUUUGAACUCUCUUAACUACUUAUCCAAUCUCUAGUCUUGUGUCCACGACAUUCAAAAUCUAUAUAUAUACAUAAACACUUUAAAAAUAAUUACCCUACAUAUACCGUGUAAUUUUUGUUGAGGGGGUUCAGGCGAACACUAUGACAACCCCUAGAUCCACCCCGAUUCAAGAUCACAAAAUUUAAAAGUCUUCUUUAUUUUCUUGAACUCCAUGUCAAAUAGGAACUAAUUGAAACUGAGGGAGUAAGUGCAACAAACAAAAGCAUUCUUUAAGUCAUAAAAUUGAAAAGUGAAAAGUGACUAUUAGAACAAGUAUUAAUUAUGAAUUAUACAGAUUAAAUCAACAAGAUAAAUAUGCAAUUCAUAAGGUUUUUCUUGUCCCCAGUAUCAUAUUGCUAGUAUUAUUAUGUUAUGUACUUGUUGAAGAAAUAUCAAUUUUACAUUGAGGCAUCAAGGACAGCAUCACCAAGUUCCACAUUCAAAUUUCUUGCUGAAGGCAAUCCUGCAACCACACUAUGUUCAAUGCCACACUCAUUUGUUCCUCUCCUGAUCUUGAAGUAUCCAUCCUAUCAUCAUGGAGAGAUAGAGUUUAACUUAUGUGCACUGACAAUGUACGAUUUGUAAUAAAUAACUUGCUUUAACCGGUGGAUAUACUAUUUACGUUGUCAGUAUAUAUAAGUUAAAAGUUGUAUAGAUAUGUGUGUGUUAGUGCAUGUUCAACAAGAAGUGGUGAGAGCAUAAGGAGAAAAUCAAGGAUAUAACAUACUUCACCCCAGCCUCUAUUCCAAGAAUUAACAAUGAGCUGCAAGAAGAUAUAAAGAAGGUGAUUAAAUUUUUGACAAAAUGGUGUAUGAUUUUCGAUAGAAAAUAGAAGACGAUAAUUUGAACACAUCAACGUACCCAAUAGUCCUCUCCUUGCUCACUAGUUCCCCAUCCGAUAAGCUUAACAGCGUGGCCUCCCAUGUUUCCCCCUGUUACAUGCUUGUAAACUCCUGAUUUGUAGUGAGCAAAAUCCUGUGAUUGACGAAAAGUUUUAAGUUAUUCAGUACCGGGAAGUGCUGCUAGUAAUAAGAGACAACAAAUGUUGUAAGCUUAGACAAUGUGUUGUUUGAGAACUGUGACAUAAUUUACAAUAUCUGAACUUUUGCACUAAUAAUCCUUCUUCUUGUUACCUCGUAAACAGUAAAAGAGACCUCAACUGGUCCAUUUUUGUAAACUUCCGCCAUGAUACUCUGGGGAUCAUGGCUGACCCUGUAUGCAUUGACACCGUAGUGCUUUGAUUUCCUCCACAACACGUUCCCCUUGACACACUUCCUAUGACAUUUUGGAGUGGGGUAUAGCGGUUCGCAACCAGGGUGGGAACAUCCAGUAGUGUCGAAGUAAGGAUCACACUGCCAUCAUAUGCUCAAUUUGUUAGUGAUUGAUCGUAAAGAGCCAUACUACUCUAGAUGGUUUUACAGAAAGCUGUAGUUUUACUGAGGUGACAAUAAGUCACCAUUUACCUCUUCUGUGACCACUCCCCUACGUUUAAAGUAUCGCCAUGCUGCUAUAGGAUAUCCACCAUCACAACCACUCCCGCAUAAAAAGCCACAGCACGCUAACAGAUCAUUUGCAGACAGAGAGAUACUCUGCAUUACACAUUAAAAGUUAACAUCAGUAACUGUAACUACAGUCAAACUAAACAAGUUUGUGUGCUAAGAUGAGGUGGUGGUUACGUGCUUGGCUCAUAGUCAUGACAUAGAAUUAGGCUCACACAUGAGAGGGCGUGCUGAAUUAGGCUUGUGAAAUGUAUCAUUUCUAACAGUUUAAAUUAGGCAGUCACAUAGUUCAACAGAACUUACCAAAUUAUAAUGGAUACAGAAACGAUCAGACAGUGACUCAACAGCACCAAAAGCCCAACAAGAACCGCAAUGUCCCUGAAAAAUAUAGGAUUAGAUCACUAGAGAGAACCUGCAAUGUGCCAUUUAGCACAUUUAAUAGAAAGAAACUAGACCAGUAGCAGAAAAUCACCUGAUCUGUGAUGCAAAUUUGUCCCAGUGAUUGAUGUGCAAAGAUGAAAAACAUUAGAAUCUCUAUUAUAGAAUUAUAGCUAGAAAGGACGGAGCAAGGAAGUGAAAUGACUGACCCAGAAUUUUUCCAAUUGUGCUGCAUUGAGGCCAAGCCUUUCGUGCAUCAAACUCUUUUGGCAACUCCUUAAGUCUUGGAUGAGUUAGAACAGGAAUUCCCUCCAAAUCACCUUCUCUUGCAGGCUUAACUCCAAGAAGGCGCUUAAAUUGGGAAACCUGUGACAACCAAAUAUCGACAUAAUUAUAAAUGCAUGUUUUCGGUGUAUAGCUGCAAAAUCGAAUGGGGAAGUAUGAAACAUCCCACUAAAAGAAAAUGCAACUGUCACUGGUUAACAUCAUGUCAUAUGUUCAAGGUUACUGAUCCCACUUUUUACAGGAAAUUAGGGGUAGUUAUCUUACUUUUACACUGUUAGCGUUUAGAAGUUUUAAUAUUUAGCUAUAUGAUGGUCUCACCGUGAAAUUCGAUAAUUGAGGGUUGAAUGCAGCUUUCCAUCCAGCUUCAGCAUUCUCAUUGACUUGUUUGAUGAUUGAGUCCUACAUGAUCAUCCAAAAAUUAAAGUGUUUCAGUUUUAAAUUCGACCUGAGCACAAUGACAAUAACAUCUUCCUGAAUCAUGAACAAAAGAGCAUACUUGAAGGAUUGCAGAUUCAAGUUUAGCUUCAGAUAUUGGCUUCUCUGCAGCAACCUGCUUUCAAGAAGAAGACAGCAUUACAAUACUCUUAGCCUGAAUUUUUCUGUAUGAACAAAAUAUGUAGCUAAUACAUCAUACAACUAAAACACUACAACAUGGGUGAAAUUACGACUAAAUAUAAAGCAAACAGAAGUUGUAACUAGUAAAUUAUUUCUCCUCUUCUUUCCCCUUUUGUAUUUAUUUGUGAAGCAAUACUUCCUCUCAUGUAGACUCAUGUAUAUAUAGAAGACAUAAUAUAUAAAUAGACACUCAUAAUAUAUAAACAGACACUCAAACACGGCCUCAACUGACAAGGGAGCACUCCAAUUUGAAAGUGCAUAUUUAGACAACUCAACUUGGUCUCAACUGACAACAAAACAGUCCAACCCAUUGCGUCUCGUGGACAUCUGACAUGACACAUGAGUUUUGGAGGCGUCCAGAUGAUCAUUUUGUAAGUUGGAGUUUUCAACUAACACAUUGGAGACGAGUUGAAGUGUCCAGAUGUACAUACUCAAAGUUAGAGUGCUUAGUUGCCGGGACCAAGUUUGAAUGUAUGUUUAUAUAUAUAAAGACUAUAUAGGAACAUGUAAGUUAACUAAUACAUAAGAAUUUCUCAUCAAACCAUAUACUGAAGCUGCAAAAACAUGUCUCUACUUUUUUUUUCCAUUAUGUAAUCAGAAAAUCAUUAAAAUUCAUUUAUGUUCAUUAUUUCAAGUCAAAGUCAAACUAAAGCAUAUGAAGUCCAAAUUACUCAACAAUCUUUGAUCUUUCUCAAGAAAUAGCAAAAGGCUAUUCCAUGUAAUCAUCAAAAACUAAUAAUCUAAACCAUGGCCCCGGCCCCGAGGGUCUAUUAGAAACAGUCUUUUUAUCUCACAAAUGACACAAGGUCGAAGUUACAUCCUAUCUUAUCCUACUCUCCCCACACUCUACUCGUGGAAUCACACUAGUAUGUUGUUGUUUAUGAAAAAUUCAUUCAAUCUAGUUCAAAUGAUUUAUCUAAAACCCAAUAAACUCAAAAUUCUAGCUACGUCUCUGAUCUAAACAAGACCAUCAAUUUAAUAAGUAAGAACAACCCACAAAAGAUCAUAAAAGAUAGUACUAUAGACAUGUUCAUUAAAAUUGAAGAAACAAACCUGUAAGAUCAGGAUAAAGAAAGCACCCAAAAGCAAAGGAGUUAUUAAAGACUCCAAAGUCAAGGCCAUCUUUUUUUUUUCCUUUAAAGCUUUCCAAUUGUGUUGUGGAAAUGGAGGAAUCUCAAAGGUAUUUAUAAAAUAAAGAGGAAAAAAAGAAAGAGAGAAUAACAACCAAUUUUAUUGGCCCAUUCUCUGACAAUAUAUAAAAAAAAAAUGGCUUUAUUAAACAAGAAGAUGAUGUCUACUUGUGGUUGGUUUUAUAAGAUAUUUUUUUGGAUUAAAGAAUUUUGAGUGUUUUACCUUUCCCAAAAGUCUAGUUCAACUUGGUAUGUUAGGUAUUCCAGUUGGACUAUUUCACAAGCAAUACUGCCCCACCCUACGGUGGAUAAGAAAUAGGUUAUUCAUGUGAAUACGAUGUUUGGUUAACAAUUUAGAAACUCGUUAUGAAUUGUAUAAUGCACGAUAUAAAAUGAAAUAACUCAUACUUAUAUAACUAAUCUUUGCCUAAUGAAUACCCGUAUAUACAUAAAUUCUUUCACAACUAAUCUCUAUAUUACUAAUACUUGCAUAAUUUUAACUAGCUACCAAAUGACUCUAAAAAAAUUCUUUAUAUAAUAAAAAUCUUAUAAGUUAAAUAUAUAUAUUUUUUUUAUAGAAAUUUUGAAGUCUCCAUGUCAGAUUGCUUGAGGAAACAGACUUUACAUGUGCAACCACAGUCGAUAUUCAUAUUUAAUUUAAUUGCAGUAACAAGCAGGAUAAACAAUUUGAGAAAGUAAAUGAAACGUAAAAAUUAAUUUGAAAAUUGGAGUGAUAUUGUAUUGUUGAAGUAUAAUUAUAUUAUUCCAAAUCAAUCAAUAUAGUGAAAUUGCAAGGGAUAACAUUAGUUUUGGACCUAUAUGUAAUUGUGAUGUGACAAAAUCAUAAUAGAAUUUGAUUAAGUCACGUUUCAUCCGAAGCCAGUGAUAUUACAAAGUAAAAUUCAAACUAAUUUUUUGUUUAGAUUUUCUUUUUGUUUAGUCAGGUGUACAAUUUUCCUCCACAAAGUGUGCAAAAAACUACUUCUGUCGUGUCAAAUUAAUUGUCAUAUUUCGUUAAAUUUCUAUCAAUAAUUUAAAAUGUUAUUUUUCAUCAAAUUAUCGCCCUUACUUUUCAUCUCUUUUUCUACUAGUAAUGUUUUUUUUCUUUUCCUCUUUCUUUUGAUUGAUUGAGAAAGAUCUAAAUAAAUAUCAUAUCUUUCGAAAAUUAUACGUAAUUUUGUUUUCUCAAACGCAUCUUGUAUUCUUGUUUAUUUUCUAUAUAAUAAAUAAUGAUAGUGAGUAGAAAUAACUCUUUUAAGUUUAUAGAAGGUGAACACCUUUUGUCUAAUUUAACUAUAGAUUCUAUAAAGAGCUAAAUCUUUUUGUAGGAAAACUUAUUUAUAGAGGUGUUGCAUCGGAUGUUCCCCUUUCUUUAAAAAGAAAAAUUAGGGCUAGGAAGGAAAAAUAAGGAGGUGAUUAUAAGGUAGAGAAUCGUACACUCAUCAAUAAGAUAAAUUUAUGUAACUAAUCAACUGAGAUAUUAAAAUUCUCCUUAUUAAAUGUUACUCAAUAAAGGAACAAUUAUGUUUUUUGAAUUUCUCACAAGAUAGACAAAUAUCCACAUUAUUGAGGCCUGACUUAAUCUAGAUUCAAGUAAUUUAUAGUGGAAACUUUGAAUUGUACAUCUAAUUAAAUCCACAAGAUGAAAAUGCAAUUUAGGUGUCAUUUGGUAAAAUACAUUAGAAAAAAUAAUGCAUGCAUUAACAAUAUGUGUAUUAUUAGUAUCAUGUUUCAUAGUACAUUUUUCCACCCUAUGUAUAACUAAUUCAAUACUUUAUUUGUCUCUCAAAACUUUUUCCAUGUCCUUUCUACCAUGUUUGUGGAUGGUAUUUUUGUACACAAAUAAUUUAUUUUAGAAAGUAUACAAUGCAUGUUAUUUUAAAUGCACCAAAAAUAAUCUUAUCAUAACCAAUACAAUCAUAACUAAUACUAUCAUUAGUAAUGUAAACAUUACUAAUACAUCAUAUUCAACUUUAUUCUUAUACACAUUACCAAAGGACUCCAUAAAUUGCAUAGAUUUGGUAGUAGUAUUAUUUAGGUGUCCUGUUGAUGAAGUAGCAUUUUACAUUGAUACAUUAAGGAAAUCAUCAUCAAGUUCCACAUUUAGAUUUCUUGCUGAAGGCAAUCCUGCAACUGUAUUAGAUUCAAUGUCACACUCAUUUGUUCCUCUUCUGAUCUUGAAGUACCCAUCCUGGCAUACACACACAAACACACUAAGGCAAAAAACUUAUAGAAAUAUAAUACUACUAACUUUUUCGCUCAUGUAAAUUGGGAGUUGAUUUCUCAUAUAGUCACUCAACUAGCCACUAUUAUCUCAAGAAGUCGCUUUCAUAUGAGAUAAUAAGUAUUAGUUGAGUGACCAUCUGAG
This 74838-nucleotide long non-coding RNA is filed under the name Solanum tuberosum (potato). RNAcentral's name for it is "long non-coding RNA (STUB_LNC002915)". The record is from RNAcentral. Lineage: Eukaryota; Viridiplantae; Streptophyta; Magnoliopsida; Solanales; Solanaceae.